GUCGCCGCGGAGCCGGCAGCAGCUCCAGGGCCCGCGUCCGCCGCGGCUCGCCGUCAGCAAGGACUCGCACAAGGUCAGGAAGCCGCCCGUCGCGCCGCAGCGGCACCAGAACCAGCAGCCGGCCGCGCAUCCGCAUCAGCAGCAGUACCAGCACCAAUACCAGCAGCAGCAGCAGCAGCAGCGGCAGCCGGUCAUCAUCUACGACGCCUCGCCCAAGGUGAUCCACACCAAGCCGGGGGACUUCAUGGCGCUCGUCCAGCGGCUCACCGGCCCGGGCUCCAUCUCCCAGGCCCAAUUCGACGCCGCCGCGGCUACGGCAGGGCCGUCCGCCGCGGCGUCGUCGUCGCAGUCGCAGCCGGCGGCGAUGGAGUUCGAGCCGCGGGAGUUCCUCCUCUCGCCCACCGCCGCGCUGUCCCCGGCCGCGCGGCUGGCCGCCAUCGAGAGGUCCGUCCGCCCGCUGCCGCCGCACCACCACGCGCCGGCGCACCACGUCACUCCCUACUACGGCGCCACCGCCAACGCCAACGACGACGACGACUUCUUCCUGCCCCUCCCCGCUUCGGCGGAGGUGGACAGCCUCGCCGCGGUGCUCGGCCCGCCGGCCGCGGGCCGCCCUGGGAUCCUCUCCCCCGCGGCGCUGCCUCCGGCGGCCUCCACGGGGCUGUUCUCGCCGAUGCCGUUCGACCCGAGCUGCCUGUCGUGGCUGAGCGAGCUGAGCCCGUUCCUCCCCUCCGCCGGCACCCGCGCCACCGCCGCCGCGGCUGGGCUCCUGGACCAGGCGCCGUUCGCGCCCAGCCCGCGCAGCAGCAGCAGCCUGCUGCUGUCCACGCCCACCAUGCCGUCGCCGGCCACCUUCUCCGUGCUCGAGUUCUUCAGCAGCAACAACUUCCCCGACCUGUAAAUCAAUCUCUGGAUGAUUAUUGACCUCACAACAAUCAAUUCUACUGAUCGAUUCCAUUUCAUUACUAUACUUUUGCCGAAUUGCCGUUGCCGUCCCGUGAGAGCAACUCGAGAAAAUCAUCCAAACUGCCCGGUGAAAUUAAUUCAGGGAGACGAGCAGAAACGGAAACAAAUAGUGUUUUUCUUUUUUCUAAUACCAAAUAGUGUAAUGCUAGAGGUUUUUUUUUCCGUCGUGUUUCGUCGUCAUCGGUGGUGACUUGCGAGAGCAAGUUGGCAUUCGCCAGUGGUAGCUACUGAUUCAUCUGUUAAUUAAUUGAUUGGCCUUGUUUAGUUCUUCAAAAAUUUUGCAAAAUUUUUCAGAUUCCCCGUCACAUCGAAUCUUUAGACGUAUGCAUGAAGUAUUAAAUAUAGAUAAAAAUAAAAACUAAUUGCACAGUUUGGUCGGAAUUGACGAGACGAAUCUUUUGAGCCUAUUUAGUCCAUGAUUGGACAAUAUUUGUUAAAUACAAACGAAAUUGCUACAAUGCUCAUUUUGCCAAAAAUUUUGGAACUAAACAAGGCCAGGUAGGUAGGUAGGAGGAGGUUGCUAAUGUUCUGUCACUGUGUUUUUUUCCUUCGUUGAUUUUAUUAUUAUUAGGUGAUUAUGUUACUUGUAAACGAAGGCGGUGAUAUAAUAUUCCGUACCAUAGUUUCAUAUUUUUCUUUACCCUGGAUGGAUCCUGCUCCUGCGACUUGGUCUCAGACUGCCUGUUGGGAUUGUAUCAGCCAUCCGAUUCCACGUAGGGUGGUUGAGAUGAUCCAUCAGCUGGCGGCGAAGAAAAUGGUUAGUGAUCUCAUGACCAUAAUAACAUGGAAUUAAUUGAACCUCGAACCACAGCUUGUUCGCUUGAGAUCUGCUGAAUUUGCUAGUGAUUUAGUAAUUUUUCUCUUAUAAUAAGGCCUUGUUUAGUUCACUCCGAAAACCAAAAAGUUUUCAAGAUUCUCCGUCACAUCGAAUCUUUCGACUAGACAAAAAUAAAAACUAAUUACACAAUUUACCUGUAAAUCACGAGACGAAUCUUUUAAUCCUAGUUAGUCCAUAAUUGGAUAAUAUUUACCAUAAAUAAACGAAAGUGCUACAAUAACGAAAUAUAAAAUCUUUUCGCAUCUAAACAAGGUCUAAAUUUACGAACAGUAUUAUGGCUUAUCAGCCUAGCAAUCAAUCAGACUUUAACUUUGUUCGGUGGCGCUAGCGAUCGGCUCUGUGACUGACCAUGUGUAAUCGUCGACGAGUGCGCGCGCGCGCAGGAGAACAGAGUGCGAGUACGCCUGCUCGGCCUACGGCGCCGGCGGCGGUUGGCGGUUGGCGCCUCACAUGGCACCGCACCGCCGGCUGCCUCGUCGCGCCUCUUUGACCUGAUCCUAAACUCACCGAUCACGGUCGACUUCCAUCCAUGCUUCGAAAGUCGAAACGAGUGACAGAGUGUCCCGUUCGGACGGUCCGGGCCAUGGUAUAUUCAUACCAAGGAGAGUUUGGACAGCGGUCCAUCUUAAAUAAGAUAUAUAAUUUUUUUACAUAAAGUUUAAUCACUUAUCUUAUUUAAAAAUUUAUGUAAAAUAUUUUUUUGUCGUGGUUUGGUUUAUUAAUUAAAGUCUUUUUAAAAAAACUUAAACUUAACAAUGUUUGCAUAUUUUUUUGAAUAAGACAAGCGGUCAAACUUGGAGUCAAAAAAGUAAAAUGUCUUAUAAUUUGGGAUGUGUGUCUAUAUAUAUAUAUAUAUAUAUAUAUAUAUAUAUAGGACGUGUUUCUUUUACACGCGCGUGUAGUUACUCUCAUCUAUGUAUCUCUAGAUUUAAGGUGUAUAUAACCGGACGAAAUGUAUAUAGACAAAGUACAUGAUCAUACUAGAUCAUCUAUAUAGACAAGUAUAUGAUCAUACCGGACGAAAUGUAUAUAUAUAUAUAUAUAUAUAUAUAUAUACGUUUUCUAUACUCCCGGGAGUAGUUACUCCCUAUUUGUUUUGUAUUACAGCUACGUCAACCCCCCUGCCAUACCGGGUAGUGGAUACUCGGAGGAUCCAAUUAGGCAUGUGGCAUGCAUUUAACAAACUUAAUUAAUUAAUUAAUUAAUUAAUAUAUACACUGUACGAUCGCAGCCGUAAUUCGUUGUGGAUGAGUAUAAUAUUAUACUUACUUUUUACUUUUUAGAAUAAAGUAUUUAUGCAUACUUCAUACUUUUUAGAAUAGAGUAUUUAUACAUACUUUUUAGAUUGAAGUACCUGUAUAUACUUUCUUUUCUUCAUAAAUUAGUACCUGUAUAUAUUUUUUAGAAUAGAGUAUUUUUACAGAUUGGACUACCUGUACAUAUUUGUUUUUCUUCAUAAAAUAGUACAUGUACAUACUUUUUAGAAUAGAGUAUUUUUACAUACUUUUUGAAAUAAAGUAUGCAUGCAUACGCUAGAUUAAGAUAGUAUAAGUGCAUACUUGAAACCACACAAUCAGAGUAUAUGUGCAUUACAUUCACGUGAUAUACUGUACUCAUACAGGGGAGGACCUACGCCGGCCGUCAUCCGCAGGGCUCCGAGCCUGCCACCGUGCAGGCUGCCGGACACCAUCAGCAGCUACCACAGGCAAAAUGCAAGCACCGCACGAUCGUGCGUCGGCCGCCAUCCUCGGCUUCGAGUAGGGGCAAGCCAUCGAUACUGGGCCUUCAGAUCUGCCGACGAUGCGAGUAGGAAGGAGGAGGCGCCAUUGAAGGACCUUCACGGACCCCGUCGACUCCAGAUCGGGUGCACCAGGGAUGAGGAGAGGGGGCUCGCCGUCGCGACCCGCUAUGGUGUGGGGGCCACGCCGCCGCUAGGGGCCGCCGUCAGCGCGGGCUUGGAUAGACAACCGUUAGGGGGAAGAGGCAGGCAGGUACCGGCCACUGCGGUCGGGCGUGGAGGGGAUGGGCCGCCGCCGCCGGGUUGCGGAGGUUCCGGCUCCCAUGUGUGACUCCACCGGUUGCGGGGUUAGGGGCAUUGCUCGCUUUGAAAUACUUCGUAUUUGGAUAAGAACGUCGUAUCGGCAUAAAACUCGGAUGACACUGGACUGGACCAUAUAUCCUAUCGGGUCUACUCAUUUAUUGACCCGCUAAGAGUGAGUUAAAGGCAGAAUUAGUAAUAUACAGAGUUUGGAGGAAGGAGUAACUACUCCUAGGGAGUAGAAAAAAGUUAAUAUAUAUAUAUAUAUAUAUAUAUAUAUAUAUAUAUAUAUAUAUAUAUAGGACUGUGCUAAUGAGUACCGUGGGUACUGAUUAAUAUUUGGUACCCGAGCAUACCCACAGCAACCCGCACGAGGCCCAUCGGUGCUCCCGCCCCGCUUUCCCCCUGCACCAAUUUUUUUUGUACGUUAUUAUUUUACCGAGUUUUUUUGGUUUGUGAUUUGUGUAUCGAUUUUUUUUGUUUGUGAACUUUUUUAAUGAUUCUUUUUUGGGUUGUGAGACUUUUUGGUUUGUGGUUUUUUUAACCGCUUUAUUGCUGAUGUUUUUUUGGAACAGUCCAUAUUGCUAGUGUUUGUUCAGAGAUGCAUGUCCCAUAGCUUUUUCGUCCCUCGUCCAUCACAAUUUGGAAACAAACUUUGCCUAAAAAAAUUGGAAACAAACUUCUUAUUGUUUAUUAACAUUAACAUAGCGUUUGGCAAAUAUACAAACACCAAAUUCAUUUUCGAAAUAUGAACUCAAAUAAAAUUAGGAGAUGUUUGUUCCAAUAAAGAGCCGGCCAAAUAUAUUAUAUGUGCAUGAAGGGUAUAACUCACAAUAAUCAUACAUGCAAAUAGUAAAUCAAUAUGUUUUUUUUUCAGAAAUCAAUCAAAUGCCAAUAGUCUAAGACUAGUCUAAAGCUGCUCCUGGGGAAGUCAUGCUGUGGGUUCUCCUUAAGCAAAUUCAACUUCCCUGUUUCAAAGAAAAGAGUGUAAGGCUAAUUCAUUUGCUAUUGGCUUCUGUUUGGAGGUGUCAGCUCGUGUUGUUUUCUUUGCCUGCAUUCUGUCAAGACCCGAAUUUUGUAAUGUGUUUUUAUCUUUGAAAACUGAAAGUAGUCAGUCAUUGUUGAUUCUGCAAGUGUGCAAAGGCAUAAUCAGUGACAUUCAAAAAGAUAUAUGUUGCAUUUGACCUCCGUAGUGCACUUGGUCUUCCAAGUUAGAGUUCUCUGCUUGCAGAUUUCCUACCAUGCCGAAUGAAAGUAUUAGAAGUUGAUGCUAGAUCAUAAUACAAUUUCACAAACACAAAAAUGAUGUUUAAAGUUAGUGCCAAAGCAUAAAAAUGAGUGUUUAAAAAGUGAUGUGCUAGUGUCAGGUACCAGACAAGGUUAUACUAAAUCAAGCAUAGCUGUUUAAAUAUAGCAAAUGUUUUCACAUUACAUGUGAAGGACUGUCAAUGUCUGAUACCCAAGAAAAUAUAUGUCUAAGCAUCUAAGAAAAAAAAUCUCAUGACAGAAACCACACAAAGGUAUAGUUCUCAAAUCUAGAAUUCAAAAAGAAGUUUGAGAACAUGGUUGCAGUGAUAUGCAGAAACUUAAAGACACUAUGGAGGUUUAUGAAAAUUAGCAUCUGUGUGCACAAAAGACAAACUAGUAUGGAGUACACAGUGAAGUGGAUAGUGAAGAACUUAAACCUGAGCUGAAUAUCUUCAGCAUCCAGAUUUACUUUUUGCUAAAGAAAAUGUCAAUCGGCAUAUGCCACAUUUUUUAGAACACAAUAUAUAUAAAACACUAUUUUGUUUCAAUAAUGAGAUGCUAUGGUUCAAAUUCAUCAUGACCAAAGAUAUUAGUUUUCCAAAAAAGGUUUAUAUGGUUUCACUUGUAAAGAGGCCUCUGGUUCUGAAAUAGGCUGAUGGUGCUAACUAAAUUAGCAACUAUAAUCCUGCUAGACCAUUUAAUACACUUUGAUUGCAUAUGCCACAUUUUUUAUUGUUAAUAAUCAAGACAUAACAGAAAUAUACAUAUUGGAUUUAUAGGGUUUUGAUGUACCAAUCUAGUUUGAGUGCUGGUACCUGUUUGUGUUUUGCAAGGCUAUUGAUUGUUUAGCGCAGCUUGGGGACUCCAGCUGAUUACUGCAAGAUCAAAAUAUGGAUGUAUUUAGUCAACAAAGAUUUUUCUUACUGCAAUAAAAUAGCUGACCUUACACUGAAGUGAAGAUAGUCACAUAAAAAUCAAGAAUAUGGCAGAGAGAGAAUGUUUAGACUUUCCUGGACUAAAAAAGUUAUUCACAAUAUAGUAGCUGACAAAAAAUAAAAUCAAUAGAGCACAUCUUGACUGCACAGAAGGAUCAAAGCAAUAUGGUAACUAAGUUGAAAUGGCAAGGAGUUAAAAAGACAAUACAAGAUCCACUUUUGUUCCCACCUAGUAAGAUCUGAACUGAAUCAGGUGGACUUAAAUGGGUAGCUAAGUAAAAACUACAUAAGCAAGAGAGGAGCAUGGAGAAGGUUUCAUAUACAUGAAUAUCACAAUGCCAUGCUCACAGUUGCCAUUUAUGGAGGUGUCCAGGACAUGAGACUCAGACAAAAUAGACUACAAUGAAUUUCAAACAACAAAAAUGAAUUAAUGAUCAAAUCAGAAACUAUUUCAUAUUGAAAGGAAAUGUGAGUUUAAACGUUGUGAUGGGGAUGACAGCUUACAAAUUCAAUGGCACAACAUUGCAGUUGCAACUUCACAAACUAGUAGAACAGAGAUAAGUGCUACAUUAUUACAAAGGUAUUUAUCCCCACUUUCAGGCCAUGGCAUGUAAAAUUAAAAUUUAGAAUAAUAGGAGAGAUACCAACUAACAGAUGGCUAUACAAGAUGGAAUGGCAUAGUGAAAGGAAAUAUGCUGAUAAGUUGCGGAUUUGUUUUUCUAAUCAGGCACUUUAAUAGUAGAAGCAAUCUGGUACUGUUAAAGAAACUCAUUCUUGAACCAGUAUGUGAGAGAACUCAAUAUAGUAACAUUCACACGAACACAGAGCAUCCAAAAGACUUGCUAAUGACUAGCAUAUAAUCUGAUUUGGAUAAUUCGAGACAGAAAUCAAGUAGUGGUGUAUGAUCAAAGGUAUUUUAUGAAAUUCCUCAAUUAUAACUGGAAUCUCACCUAUGGUUGAUGCAUUCUGUACCAUGCUGCCACAAAAUCUUCUAGCUCAUUAGAGCUUGCCUGAUUAGAAAAGUGUGUGCACCAAAAAUGAUUAAUAAGUGUCCACAAAAUCACUAAACAAAAUAGAAACCCAAGUGAACAUGCUGCAACAGGAAUUAAUAAGGUGAAAACUAGAAACUUCUAGUUCAUUUGCCUGAUAAAAGUGUACAGUAAAUUAGGAAGUAUGGCAUCAUCAUAGAGUUUGCAUCAUGGACUAAAACAACCACACCCGACAGUUAAGAAAAAAUAAGGAAAAAAUAUCAAAGAGAGAAGGGAACACUAAUUAUAAUAUAACAUUUAUUGCCAGCUUCACUAACGUGAUGAAAUUUGGCCCAAAUGUUUGCUAGAGCUAGCAUGUCCUAUUUCAUAUAGUAAAUCUAAAAUACAUAGUAUCUUGCAGGAGACGUAAGCUCAAGCAUUACCUGUAUUGGAAGCAUUCAGCUUUAUGUUCGUGCAUGCAUAGGAGUGUUAGCAUGCUGUGAUUCCUAUCUACAGGCAUCCUGUAGUUCUCCGUGCAACCAAAUGUUGUUGUUUAGUCUGCAACUACAAAAAUUAUUACAAUCAAAAUUUUCAUAUUGGUUUGGUCAUUUCAUUCCAUAGUUGAACAAACAAAAUAACAGCACUCACAAUCUAAUGAAACAACAUAUAUUUGACAAAGAAGACAAACAAUUCAUUUCUUAAGACAGCAACAUUGUUGUAGGCAGAUCGUUAAUCAACCUACAUUGAUAUUGCACCAACCCUCGUGUCGAUCCAUCUAUAGGGACAGAAAUUGCAUGCAACACAAAGUAUCAGACAUUUGUCUAGAAACAAACAGCAAAUUAUCAAUUGGCAGAUAAAAAUUGAGGGGAUGAAGAGUGAGACAUUACCUUGGGCUUGAUUAACGAUUUGCCUCAGUUAUUCUCCUCCAGACAAACAUGCCUGCAUCCACCUCCAGAUCUAGCUGAGGCAGAGGAAAUUGCAAUCCCUGAGAUUUUAGGGCCAAGAUCCAACCCAUUUAAAGUUUAGGGAAGAGGAUGGGUUAGCUGCUUACCAUGGUGCAGAGAGAGAUCCACUCUAGUGGCCGCGCCUGGAGGAGAGCUGCGAGGAUGGGGUUGACGUCGUGAAGCUCCGGCCACACCAUCACACAUCGCAAGGAGAAAUGGAUCGAACACGGGGCUGCCUCUGCUCCUCAAUAGGGUUCAACAUGCGCGAUGGGAAGCGCACGGGUUUGUGCUAUGGUCACCAUCAUUAGCACUGUCCGACAGGGGCCGAGAUGAGGGUUGAGAUCUGCUUGCCGCUGUCCUCGUCGCCUGUGGUCGCGGUGCCAUCCUCGUCUCCAUGUGCUACCUCAUAGAGAAUCUGUGACUUUCUCAACCACUAUAUUUCAAACAAAACAUUAGCACUGAGUAGGCUAGUGCAAAUAUACAUGUCAGCAUGAGUCAUUCUUUCUCCUGCCCUUCUCUGAGUUUAGUACCUAUCCAUUUACAACAUAAUCAUCAUUCUUUCUCCUGCCCUUCUACCAAACUUGACGUGCCCAAAAUAAGAUCUAAAAAUCAGUAGCCAUUUAGUCCUUCAUGUUCCAUGGCAGGAAAAAAUCAUAAUAAUUUCGUUAUUUAGCACAACCACUGUAGAUGUGCAGACAACAAAUACAAAAAAUGACCUGGGAAAAGCUAGAAGAUUAAAUACUGAUUAUGUACACAAUCAGUUAGUAAACUCUAGAUGGACACCUUCAGCUAAUUAAGUAAACUAGUGUGAGCCGGACGGAACGUGACCAGCGGGCAGCGGCCUCCUCCACAAAUCACGUGUCAUGACACAGUUUUGUUUCCUCAAAUAGUGUUUGGUGUCCACCUUCAGUAUGAAUUGACCCGUACAGUACAUGCAAGACGCCUUAUGUCACCUCUGAAUACACCUCGUAUUGUCAAUUCUUUCUUGGGUAUUUGACGGAUGGUGGUACUACUACGUAUUACCACUAUUAUUGUUUUUUUUACUACUACUGUAUAAUACCCGUGCUAACGCUACGGCUUAAUUUUGGGAUGCUUCUAAAAACAAAAAUUAUAGUUCGGAAAUAUUUUUUUUGCAGUAGUAGAAGAAGCACAGUGGAAUGCACAACUGCACCUCCGAUCCAUGCAUACACAGCGAUGAGGAAAGCAAGAUACGAAUGAAGGAAAGACCUGGUUCUUCAUGCGACGUUCAGAGAUCCCUGUUGGCGUCGAACAUGGUUCCGGCGAAGGAGGUCGACGGUGAUGACAAAGACGACGUGAUACAGUCAAUGCCUUGAAAUCCCAAGCGCGGCGAUCGCUGGAAGACGGAGGUGGAUCAUGCGACCUGGCUACGGCACCAGCCCGACGACGGUCCUCCACGGCCGAGCGUCAGUUGUGGUAGAUGAAGGAGGCGGAAAUUAUGGUCUAUUCAAAAAUUGAAUCGUGCUUGACUCGUUGACAGAGGUGGAUUUCCUAAGGAGCGAGUAAUUGACGUAGAUUUUUUGCUAGUGUGCGAUCGGCAAGAAUCGAUCCCACAGCAUUAGGUUGCAGCCUUUUUUUAGUAUUCACGGAGGUUUUCUUUUAUUUAUGCGAUUGGAAGAAUCGAUCCCGCGACACGGCUGACGGAGGUUUGAUUUGACGCGAGGCUGAGGGUGUGUAAGGUCGUGAUCAUACUUCUAAUCUAGGCCGUUAAAUCUAUAGGACAUGUGUUGUGAGUCGUUGAUCUUGCAGGUGGGAUUUGCCUGGAAAAGAUUUCAAUUAUAGUAUAGAUUAGAAUGAAAAUACUAUUUGGGAAAAGCAGACACUUCAUUUCAGGAUUUUAGCAAACCUAGUAGCAAAUACCCUUGCUAGAAAAGAAUAUUUCUGAAUAUUUGUGCAGCAGGUUCAGGAAAUCAAUGAAGGCCAUGUUUGCAUUUAUAUGCGAUAAUCCUAAUUAAAAUGCAUAUAUAUUCUACAGGAACAAGCAUCCAAAGCCAGACAUUUCAAUGAACUUGGGUUUGCAUCUAGAAACAUAUAAUAUCCUGAUUGACGCUACUAGUUGGGAAUUAGAGCACCAAAUCCUUUCCCAUGAGUAACUGAAAGCUGCAUUGAACUAGCAUUGGCAAACAAAACAAUCUCACCUUGCUGCAACUGAAGAGGCCGCAGGGAACACAUCCGGCACUAGAAUCAUCAAAUUGGAUCAAGAAAGGGAAGGGGGAGGAGUAGGAGAUGGUGCAUGUCUAGUUGGGGAAGGGGAUUUGGAGGAGGAGCACCUGUAUCUGCCAGCAGUGUUGGAGGGAGCACACGCAGGAGAGGCGGCAACGGCGGUGGGCUAACAGCAGCGACAUCGCCAGGAGAGUUGCCAUUCCUUUCUCUGGGAGUUAACUGCGAGAGCUGAUGAUGAGACAUGGGCGAGCAUAAUGGUCUCACUAAAGUUGAGUUCAGUAACUGCACUUACCAACCAUUGUGCUGCUAGGAGAUUGCUUUGAAAGGAUUCCAAUAUAGUCCUGCAAAUCCAUCAAAAGACCACUAGAUUAAGAAGUUAAGCUACCACGCAUUAGAGAACAGGAACUUGAAUCACAGAGCAUAACACAUGAUUGUCUGUCACAUGGUACAGAAGAAACCUCACCUUUGCCACAUCGAGACGCUGGCAAUCCAUGGCCACCUGCUUGCAGAACGACCACUCUGCACAGGAAGAGAGCGAGAACGAGUUUAAUACUGAAAUCUAGAGUAGAGACAGCGGACGGAAGCUGCAAAAAUGGCGGAUAUGUUUUCUCAAUUUGACUAGCAAAAUCUCAGAGACUGCGAUAGAUCCCGCAGAGACAUGACACAAUCUAAACAUCUAAGGGAUAGAAUCGACAAGGGUUGAGCAGAGCAAUCCAAAUCCACCACGCCUGCAGAGAGACGAAUGGAUCGUCGUGGCCGGGAUGCGAGACUAGGGGCGAGAUCUAGCGAGAGAGAGUCAAGGAAGGAAGGGGAAGGCAGAGCGCGUUACGUUCUGAGUCGAGGCCGGAGCACGCGGAGACAUUGUUGAGGAGGGCAAGGCUGACGCGGAGGACGUGGGCGCGUGGGACGGCGGGCGCAGAACCGGCGGGCGAGGCAGAGGUAGUCCCAGGCGCCGCCAUCGUUGUGCUCCGCCUGCUCCUCCAGGCGCAGCAGGCACGCUUCAUCUUCCACCGUCAUCACCAGUAGCGACGGGGAGCUGAGAGGGUGAGAGGAUGGGGAGCGAGACGGCGCAAGGAGGCCCCUCGGCGGCGGCGAAACUAGGCUCGCGCGGCAGAGGUUGGCGGCGAGCUGGCCUCGUGCGCCGGAGGGGGUGGUGAGCUGGGCGAAAGUGCGAAACCGACAUCUCCUCCCAAGUACCCACGAUCUCGAAAUUAGAAAAAAAAAAAAACUAGAUAGGAUAAAGAGAAUGCGGGCACGGCCGCACGGGGGACGUCGUGGUGGGAGUGCCCAUGGUUGGCUCUCGACUCUCGUCUGUAAUUUAGGUUGGUUGGCUCGACUCGGGUACUGAUUAUUAUUCAGUACCCAGGGUGAUAUAUAGAAUAUAUAUAUAUAUAUAUAUAUAUAUAUAUAUAUAUAUAUAUAUAUAUAUAUAUAUACUGUUUAGUUUUGACUUGUGGUGUAUAAUAAUAUUUUUUCUACACUUAGGCUGUAGAAUAGCACUACCGUCUAUAUAUAUAUAUAUAUCAAGCUACGAUAAAAGAAGUAAUAUAUAUACAUAUAUAUAAAUUUAAGAAAAAAAUUAUAUGACCCUUCUAACUAUUGAUUUUUUUAUGAUAAACUACUUCGCUCCCAAACUAUAAAAUCGGAUUUUCUAUUCUUUAAUUUUCCAAAACUAAUGAAAUAACCCCCUCAAACGGUCUUGGACAUAGAUUUUUGCACAGUGAUAGUGGUUUUUUUUAUUUCUGCUAAAUCUUUAAAAAAUCAUAGUAAAUUAUAAAAAAUUAUAAAAUUAAAAAUCUAAUUUUGUUAGACUCCACGUGAGUAGAUCUACACAGGAAACAUAUAAUAUAAUAUGCUUUUAUGGUCUAAUUAUGGUAAAAUUUUUAUGAUAUAUUAAUUAUUAUAUGCUUGAACUAUAGUAAAAACUAGCAAACAUUCCGUGUGUUGCAAUGGGGAAAAAAUAUCUAAUAUUUUUUAGAAACAAUAACGAGAAUAAUACAUAUAUACGUUUAUGUUUUACCAUAUCUGGGAAAUCCAUCUUGGGCAUAGCAGCCUUGGGUAGAAGUUGUGUGCUGGGUAUCCUUCUUGUCUUGUCGUGGGAGAAGCUUGUGCUUGGGUGAGGUUUCAGGUUUUUCCAGUGUGUUGGCCGUUGGGGCUUGGCAAACAUAUUCUAUAGUAUAUUUUUAGGACGAUUGAAAAAUAUCCUUAUGUCGUUCUUUUUAAAAUUUCUUUAUUAUUUUUUGUUCUUUAUGCUUUGCUCUAGAUUUUAUUAUUAUUUAUUUUUGAUGGAUAUUUAAUACCAAUAUCAUUAAUCUAAAACUAUAAUACUAUUCAUUUUAUAUUAUAUAUAUAUAUAUAUAUAUAGUGAUGUUUACGUAAUAUAUGCGAUGUUCUAUAAUGUGUCUGAGUGAUAUUCUAUAAUACAUUUAGUGAUGUUCACUUAGUACAUACGUGGUGUUCUAUAAUAUAUUUUUUUUCUUUAUGUUUUGCUCUAGAUUUUAUUAUUUUUUAUGUUAUAUAUUUAUUUAUUUUUAUGUAUAUUAUAUAUUAAUUUUGUGAACCGAAAACUAGAAUAUUGUUUUUCUAAGCUGAGAGCAUAUUUUCUUAUAAAGACAGAACAUUAUUCUCUGAACUAGAAUAUUGUGUCUCCUCAAUAAAAGAAAAUGUUUUGUGUUCAUAUGAUAAAUGGUCGUUAAUAAAAAUUUAUCUAAAUAUAUCUAUGUGGAUUUUAUUUUGAAUGAUUUAUCAUAAGAAAUAUGAUGGUGUAAUCAGAUUUCAGUUUGGAUGUUUGGUUUAGAAGUUAUGAUUUUUUAAAGUUUGUUGAUAAAAGUGGAAACGAUAUGGAUGAAGUGGGUCCUGCAAGAUGGGCAGCUUGCACCAGCCACGACGUAUCUCGCUGCAGGCGUUGCGCGUGCCUGAAACUUUGCGCGGCAAAUCAUCGGACGAAGGAUGAACGCUAGCAGGCUCCAUCUAUCCAUACCUAUUUAUAUCUAUAUCUAUAUCGAUAAUAUCUAUCUCUAUAAUAUCUAUAUCUUUUAUAUACACUUUAAAAAGACUGUAGUCUCAUCAUCUACCCGGUUACAAAAUCUCGAUUCCUGCUCACGUGUCAAUGUUUGGCUGAAAAAUAUAAAGUGGAGCUGAAAAAUAUAGAGCGAAGCAGUAACAAACAUGUUUUGUGAAUCAUUUCUAAAACAUAUAUAAUCUCAUUCCGGGGACUCGCUUAUCGGAAUGUUACCGUAGCAUUAGAAGAGACUCUAUCCUAGUUCAAAAUAAGAAAACAAACUGAGAUCGAGCACUCCAUGUAUGCUACAAGAUAUGUGAUGUAUAACAUUGGGUUUAGGAAACUUUCGUUGUGUGGUGAGGGAGGGAGAGAAGGUUUAGUUAUUAGGUAAAGUGUAGUUAGUUCAAGUUGAACCUCAUCUUAUUUUUGGUUAAAAAACGAAUUGGUUUUAAUCUUUUAAAACUUCAACUUGGUCAGAACAUGCUAUGCAAAGUUUUAAUUUAAAAACCUUAAAUUACGAUUUUGAAACAGGGAAAGAGAGAAAAGGUGAUAAGGUUUUGAUCUAAGGCCUUGUUUAGUUUUCAAAAAAUUUUGCAAAAGUUUUUAGAUUCACCGUCACAUCGAAUAUUUAGACACAUACAUGGAGUAUUAAAUAUAGACAAAAAUAAAAAUUAAUUGUAUAGUUUGGUCGGAAUUGACGAGACGAAUCUUUUAAGUCUAGUUAGUCCAUGAUUUUUGGAACUAAACAAGGCCUAAUUGCUACAUGCAUCACACAAUAGCACAAUUUUUUUUUAAAAAAAAACAAGGUACAUAAAAACAACUGCUUGAAAUUUUAGGCUUCCCGCUACAAGCAAACCAUUAGGAAACUCCAUGCUCAGCUCAAUGUACCACGAUCCCUGUUAAUUAACGACUCAUUCUUUUGCACCAAAGCAAGCAAACCAAUGUACACCCUCGUCCUAGAACUUCCAUGGAAUGUACAGUACAAGAAACAGUAAUGGGCAGGCUGGCAAUCGCCACGCUCUUUUCCACAUACACGCGCAUGCAUGCAGCUAGCUCUCAUAGAUCUCGCAAGCCUACAGCUUCACCGGUAGUCCAUAGUUGUGGAAGCAUCGGAUGACCCCGUCGCGGCCGCCGGUGACGACGACCUUGUUCCAGGCGGCCGACACCUUGGUGCUGCACUCGUCCAUCCCGGCGCAGUUGACGUACUUGAGCGACGGCAGCAGCUUCUCCUCGGGCCACGUCGCGGCGCCCCUCGCUCCAUCCGCCGAGAACCACGUCCCAAACGAGCAGAACUCGCGGUCGCGGCAAAGCGUCGGGGUGGCCCCCUUCGACGACGACGACGACGACGACGACUGGAGAUCUUCUUGCUGCUGCAGCAUCCCCGGCCAUGUCGCCACGGACGUGACGCCCUUGGAGAAGAAGUGCUCGCAGGAACGAACUCUUCUUGAUGCUCCGGUGGUGGUGCUUUUGCCCGCUGCUGGCCCGUCAAAGUUCCAGAUGUAGACGUUGGAGUCGCCACCUGCUGACACAAGGUACUGGCCGUCGGAGGUCAGAGACGGCGGUACCAGGACCUUGGAGCCUCGCCGGCCUACAACGGGGACCAAGAAAACAAUGUGUAAACUUGGUACAGGCUGUAGUGUGCCUAGCUAGGCUAGGAGUAGUACUGACUACUGAGUACUGACGACAGGCAACCAAGAAAUCUAACCUUCAAACUUUCGGCUGAUCUUAGCUCCUCCAUCGGAGACUCGAAUUUUAGAACCUGCUGAAGCGAUCAUGAUCCCAGCAGGAUCACCGUUUGAAUACUGCGAGGCAGAAUAGAUUGAGCAAAUGUUUCUUAUGAGGAGGAGAAAAACACAUUGACUGAAUCACUGAACCAAAACAGCUAACCUGAAGGCUGGUGAUCUGUCUACCAGCAGAUUUCUUCUUCGUUACCUUCAUUACUUUCUCCAGUUCCACGUUUUCACCUGUAUUCAAUUCAAUUGCCUGGUUAGGAGCUAUAGAGUGUAAUACCACCAUAACCGUCUCGAUGAAUAAACUCAUACUAAACAUCAGAAAUGGCUGUUGCACCUGCAUGGUAAUAGAACCGGCACCUCCCUGAAGCGAUUCCGACAAUAAGACCCUGAGGAGGAAAGAAAUGCCUGGGUUAGCACCCAGUUAGUUGGAAAUGGUAAAACUUCAGUAGCAUUUUGAUCAGGUUUCAACCUUUCCAUCUGGCUGGUAACUCACAGCAGUUAUGAUAUCCUUUGUAUCAGCCCAGUCAACUACUCGCCUCUCUGAAACAUCCCAAACACGGACUUUGCCAUCUAUUGAGCCGCUAACGAAGUAUCUUGCGUCAACCGGAUUGGAUUGAAUGCAUGUUACUGUUACCAUAUUCAUCAUAAUAAAUAAGAAAAUAUCAGAUUCAAAUCAUGGAUAGAUGCAAAAAAAAGAAACUUUUGGCUAUACAAAUACAGUGACUUUACUGUAGAUGUCAAAGGCUAUAUGGUAUUUGUUUUUAAUGUUUGUGCAUACCAUAAUCUCUGUGCUUGAAUACUGCUAGACAGUCAUCACAGCCAACUUUCCACAUGCGUACAGUCUUGUCUUUAGAUGAAGUCAAGAGAAACUGCAGGAAAUGUUAAAUAGUCAGUUUUCAAAUUCGAUAGACAAGAACUCAGUUAUAUGAUUUGACUGAUAUGAAUGUAAAGUUGUUAACAGAACUUCACAUGCAUGUAUUACAUUCACUUAAUUCUCACAUGUGACAUGAGUGACCAAAGCAUACUGGAUAAAUAAAAGCUUACAUUUGAUUUUGACCAUGUCAUAUCCAAGAUAUCACUUGUGUGACCAUGAAACUCAUGCAGUGGUGUCUCUGCAAUGUUGAAAACUUUCUUGGGUAUUAUGGCAAGGGCUCGUCUCUGGCCUUUUCCCACCUUCAUUUUCAGGCCUUUAUUUCUGUUCAAGGAUUUGACAGGCGCCUCUCUGAUGUACAAAUCAGGAGAGGAUUCAACUUCUUGUAUCAUCCAAAUGCACACGAUGCAGUCUUCGCCGACACUCGCUAAAUACCAUCCACAUGUACUGAACUUCAUGACCCUGAUUGAACCUCCGUGGGCAUGGAUUUCUUGGCACAUGUAGAGAGCAGAGAAGUCCAUCCACUUUUUGUUCUGCUGAUAAACUUUUGUUGUAAACAAUGUGCCUGUCUUCAGGCUUUUCAUUCGUGUGUCAUGCAAACAAAUUAUAUCUUCUCCAUUCUUUCUUGUGAACUUUCCACAAAAACUCUUGGUAUCCUUUUGCUUCUCACUAAAUGCUACAUUCAUUCCCCUUGCAGGACCACGACCACUGCCCUUCUGCAAGAACUCAUGAACAAGCUGAGAGAAGCUAAGAAAACCUUCUGACUGGUCUAUAUUCAUGAUUCUGUUUGUACCAACCUCAUCAAGUAUUCCAGUCAGUUCAUGGUGCUCGCUUUCAUGAAGCACAACACUAUUCCUAGUACUAUCUGGUGCUGAUGCACAAUGAGAAAAAGACGGCCGAUAUGAAGAACAGAUGCUAUUAAUUCUUUCCUCCAGGUCACGAAAUGCACGGUCAGCCAAAAUUUCUCCCUGCCACUGCGAAAAGGUGAUUCCAGUAGGAAUGGGUUUAACAAAGCCCAUCCCAAUCAUGAAUCUGUGCCGCCUUUCAUUGACACUCAUCAAUUCACUUGUCCAGAGCUCAUCCUGAUCAGGUCCCCAUGAUGCUGAUAAUUGGUCACUUGUGCUGCACCUAGCUGAGAAAUAUGUUGAACUUCUUAUAUCAUCAGAUGUCUCCAAGAAUAUGUCAUCCUGUCCAUCGCUAUUGUACAUUUUCCUCAAGCUUCUAUGUACUAAUUAAGAAAACCUAUGACACCUCCACAUAGCCACUGUAUAAUUCGAUGGUGAUAAAACUGCCAAAAAAAGAGAGAGAGAAUGUAGAGCGUCAGGUCCACAUCAUGUGGCUAUAGAAGAAAUCAUGAUUUACAAAGCUUAGCAAUAAGGACGGCAGAUACGGUAUCACAGAAAGGACUAGGUUAUUCAAGAAUUAGAACAAAUUGCACAGCACCCAAUUGAUCACUAAAGGAAAAUGAACACAAUUACACAUCAGGAGAGAUGACUACAGAAAGAGGCUAUAGGACAUCACGACAUAGAUGCAACGAGUAGAUCAACAUAGUGAGAACAGAUUGGUACAGAAACUUGCCACACACAUGUACAGAUUUAUAUCCUACUGCUCACUCAAACUAAAGCGCAAGUGUGUCAAAACCACAAAAUCCUGAGUUUCAAAAAAAAAACACAAAAUCCUGGAGGAACAUAGCAGGUUUCCGUUUCCUAUAAGAAGGCACUUUUUUCUCGAAAUACGCAGAAAAAUAUGAAUCAUUAUAUUAGAGACAGGAAAUAGGCUUACAAUCAGCGAAUCCUACAUCAUCGUGGAGAACUGCUGCUCUUCCCAAACACUAAACAAGUUGCACUUACAACGGCCAUAUUUGGAUGCAAAGUAUUAUUAGAGUAUAUAUUGGAUAAAUAUUGUGCUGUUGCAAACUAGUUUUGUUUUUGAAUGUUGCCAUUUGUUUGGAUGUAACAGACCUUUAACUUUCCAAACCACUGUAUUGCUACAGUCCUUUAACUCCAUUCGAAACUUGCUUUUUGUAAACCACAGUUGUACAUUCCUUAGGCUCAUUAAAAAAUAGUUGCUUGAUAUCGUAGUUUUCUAAAACAAAAGCAUCCAAAUAAUCAGUUCCUUAGAGGAUGCUACAGACCUCCAAACAUCGUGAUUUGGCUACUUGGGUAUGGAGUAACCAUUCCUUCCGAAAACAAGUACUUAUAUCUUUAUUUUUCUUCCCAAAGUAUGAAAACUUGAAGAACCUAACGAGGACUUAUUAGGAGCUGGUUCACCAUAAAUUAAACCAAUCCAGAGCUGACCAAGAUGUUUAAUGAGAGAAGUGAUGGAUUUUCCCCUUAUAUUGUGAUAAACUUUUUAGAAGUCUGUAUAUUUCAGAAAGAUGGAAUAUUGAACAACAGAAAUGAGCACAAACACCACAAGAUUGCUUGGCCAGUACCGCCCUAUGCCCACGCCAACCAAUGUUGGAACCUCUCAUCCGGUCAUUCAUAUCCUUUGUAAUUGAUAACUACCCAUUACUAUCCUUCUUAAUUGAUAAUUGAUUGGUCUCCCUCUAUUCAAAAUAUAAAUGAUGUUUGAAGCAGCUAAGGGCUUCCCCACCGCAAGCUGAUAACAUUGUUGGCUUCAACUCAAACUGAUAUCCACGUAGAUAUAGAAGAAACAGAAUGGAUUAAUACAAACUACUAUUGAGGUAAAAAGGGUCCAUUUCCACCUUUUCCUCAUCCCUCCUCCCUCUCAGCUACCUCACCUUUUGUCAAACCAGUGAAACUCUUUUGCCCCGACGAACUCCAGAAAGUAUGUAUAACAUUUAGAUAAGACCAACCCCAAUGCACCAACAUGGUUAUUAGCCUCGUAGAAGGCGCGAGAGAACGAAAGGCUUGUAGUCAUGUUGCCAAGCCUCUAGCUUGUCUUAUGUUGGUGUUACUUUAAAACAUCAGUCGCACACCCCUUCUUAAUUGAUAAUUGAUUGGUAUGGCUUGGAGCCAUAUACUCCCUCUAUUCAGAAAAUAAAUGAUAUUUGAGGCAGCUAAUAAAGGCUUCUCCACCACAAGCUAACAACAUCGCUUCAACUGAAAACUGCCAUCCACGUAGACAUAAAAGAAACAGAUCCAGGUAGACAUAGAAGAAAAGGAUCCAAGUAGACAAAAGAAAUAGAACGGAUUAACAUAGACUACUCUUGCAUUAAAAAAAAUGGUCCCUUUCACCUUUCUCUCAUCCCUCCUCCCUCUCACCUAGCUUAGCUUUUGUCAAACCAGUAAAACUCUUUUGCCCCGGAUGCGCUCUAGGAAAUAUGGCCUUGUUUAGUUCACCCCAAAAUCGAAAAACUUUUCAAGAUUCUCCGUCACAUCGAAUCUUGCAGCACAUACAUGAGACACUAAAUAUAGAUGAAAAUAAAAACUAAUUACACAGUUUACCUGUAAAUCGCGAGAUGAAUCUUUAUGCCUAGUUACUUCAUGAUUGGACAAUGUUUGUCACAAACAAACGAAAGUGCUACAGUUCCGAAAACCAAAAAAUUUGGUUUUCGGAACUAAACAAGGCCUAUGUAUAACUUUUGGAUGACAUCUAACUUUGAGAUACAACCAGCUUCAACGCACCAACAUGAUUGUUAGCCUCGUGGGGCCACAUAGGCUCGGACCCCACAUGGAGGAAAGAAGACGGGGGAAGGGUGGUUAAUUUGGUAGUGUGUCAGGGUGGCUUGGACAAAAAGUAAAGAUUUGAGGAGGGAGAAUAAGGUACAUGAGAAAAAGAAAAGCUUAUAGUCAUGUUGUAGUGUCGCAUUGUCUCAUAUGAAACAACACCCCUUCUACUACAUGCAUUGCAACGAAUUAUAUGGCAGCAACUUUUUAUUCAAACCUCCGGUUCGUGUUGGUCUACAUUGGUGUUGCUCUAAAACACUUGUUCUUCGUCCCUAUUCUACUUAAUUAAUCGAUAUGGCUUCGAGCCAUAUACUCCCUCUGUUUGAAAUAUAAAUGAUGCUUGAGGCAGCUAAAGGGCUUCCCUAACGCAAGCUAAUAACAUUGAUGAUUUGAACUAAAAAAAUGUCAUCCACGUAGACAUAGAAGAAACAGAACGGAUCAACACAAACUACUCUUGAGGUCAAAAUGGCUACUUUCACCUUUUGCUCAUUCCUCCUCCCUCUCAACUAGCUCACCUUUUGUCAAACCAGUAAAACCCUUUUGUCUCGACACACUCUGGGAAGUAUAUAUAUAACUUUUAUAUAAGGCAUAAAUUUUAGAUAAGACCAGCCACAAUACACAAACGAAGUUGUUAGCCUCGUAAGACCACGUGGACGAGAGAAGGCGGGGGACGCCGCCUUGUUCGUUUGGCUGAUAAGCUAUGACAGAAAGUAUUGUUGGCUGAUAUAUUGUGAGAGUUUGAAAGUGUGUCAAGAUGCCUUGGCUAGAAAAACUAAAAGUUUGAGGAGAAAGAAAAAGUGCGUGAGAGAGAAGAAAGGCUUCUAGUUAUGUUGUAGUGUUGCCUGUCUAGAUAAGGCAUCACCUCUUUUGCAACAUGUCAUGGAACAAUAGCUGUUUCAGCAUAUAGCAGCAGAAACCUGCAGCUCGAUCGUGUUGGUCUGCAUUGGUGUUGCUCUAAAACAUUUUGUUCUCCUCGGCAAGGUAUUGUAUCAGGCAGCAUACGAGACCACUAAUCCACAUGUGAGCUUGACACCAGUGGCGGAGCUUCCUUAACUUAAACCCAGAGUGGGAUCCCAAGGCAAGACAGGCUUUGGCCGCCCCGCCGCAGUCAUGUCAGGUCGAGCAAUCCCGCCGCCCUGCCAGCGCGCGGCUGCGCCAGGAUAGAAACACGGCAGAGAAGACAGACAGCUGCCCUCCCUUUCGUUGCCAGUUCGCUGGACAGCGAGGUGACAGUAGCAGGAGCGGCGGCCGAGAGUAGGCGUGUGGCGGCGUAGUACAGUAUACUACUCCUAGCAGUAGCCAGCGAGCAGCGUGGCACUCUGCCGGUGCCGUCCCCUGCCCCUCGCCGCCGGCUGGCUGCGGCUGUGCACUGCAGGCAGGGUGGGCCGCGGGGCGGGCGUGCAUUAAAAAGCCUGCGCCGCCGGCGCGCCAGACACGGAUCUUCCCGCCCGCGUUAAAGGAGCAGUCUUUUUCCAUCGGUACGGCGCUGUUCAUUACUACUACAGCUGGGGACAAAGAGAGAAUCGAAAUGGAAAAAAAAAAGUUCAGUCUGAGCCAGCCGUCGUCGGUCGUCCCCACUCCCAACGGUGGCCAGAAGAAAGCGCUGUCAACGGGCGAGCUCGCCGCUGAAGUUCAUCGGUAUGAGGUCGCAUGAUGGUCACCGAGAAGUAUGGGAGCUCCGGACGCAUGUCUGUUUCCGGUGACCGGAAAUCACGCACGGUGAAACAGGAAGGAAUUGUCAGUUGUUGCGGAGCAGUGGAAAACAGACGCUCAGGUAACUGACGGGUACUCCUUUUCUAUCAGGGUCAAGAAGAAUGAGAUAUUGCCUUGUUGGUUAAGGUUAACCACAGCAAACAGUCCGGGUGUAUUGUAGUAGAAAACAAAAAUGGAUCUAUGCAAGUCGGACGAGGCGAACAACACAACAUCUCCUAUCUAGUCUACGUACGCUAGACUCGCAGAACCUACUCAACAAGUUACGAGAGUUCCUGCGAUCCCACCCACUUCUAGAACAGAGAACCGGUUCAUGACAAACCCUGCUGCGCCGAAACGGCACUGUUCCAUUGAGAUGGGAACAGAGAAUUCGCGCACGCACCCCCCCCCCCCCCCCCCCCCCCCCCGCCGAGAGAAAAGAGGAACGCGGAGCCCGAUCCCACGCCGGCCACCACGCCACCGUGCGUCGUCGCCGCACACAGGACGAAAUUCUACUCUGAACCACGACGAAAUCCAAAGGCAGGCAGCAGCAGCACGUACCCGCAGAUCGCCGGACAGGAUGGAUCCCCCCCGUAGCCGAGCCGAUCGAAGAAGAAGGAAAUUCUCUGCUCCGUCGUCGAUCCUCGGGAGUCGCGCAACCUCCAGAAAACCCCGACCCUCCCGCUGUGUCAGUGGUGCGAGUGCGACGCUCUCCCCAGUCGGGAUGGCUUCCCACCGAACCCAACCGGAGGGGGUGCCGCCUGUGUUAUAUCCACCCGACCCCGUGCGCCGCCGCGGCUCAUCAACAAUCAAAGCGGGCGGUCCGUCAAGCCCAGUGCCUGCCCGUAACGCUCCAUGGUGGGUAUUUCCUUGCAGUUUCCUCUCGGCGUCCCAAGGACACGCUCUCCGUGUCCGCUGGGGGGGGCGGGCGGGGUUCGUCCAUUCGUUCCAUGACGUGGGCGAGUAGCUGUCUCUUAGGCCUUGUUUACUUUCCAAAAAAUUUUGCAAAUUCUCCGUCACAUCAAAUCUUUAGACGCAUGCAUAAAGUAUUAAAUAUAAACGAAAAUAAAAACUAAUUGCACGGUUUAGUCAGAAUUGACGAGACGAAUCUUUUUAGUCUAGAUAGUACAUGAUUGGAUAAUAUUUGUCAAAUACAAACGAAAGUGGUACUAUUCCUAUUUUGUAAAAUUUUUUGAAACUAAACAAGGCCUUAGAGUUUACACCGUCUCACGCGCGUCGUCGUCCGUAUAAGAGUUUACAGACAUGGAGGGUGGGUGGGGGGUAGUCGUCCAUUACAAUAUAGACAGUAAAUAAAGUAAUUUCGACGGUGAGGAUUGUCUCACUUAGCUUGCACUUGGAUUAUGGACGUACGUGAUGAUGAAUAUCUAACGGAUCGCGACAAUUAAUAAUGAAUAAAACGAUUUUCUUAGAUCCUGCUCAAUUCUAAUGGAAUCGGCAUAUAUGGUAAUAUAUACAACUCUGCAGUUAAUGUGUGAGCUUUUUUAUUUUAUUUUAUUUUAUUAUAUGUGUUUAGUUCGUUACUGGUCUGCCCAAUUCUGCCUGUCUACGCAGUUGUGGGCGCUGGCUGGAGAUGCUAAAUGCUAGAGAUGAAAACGAUUGGGAACAGUCGGUUACAAUAAUUAUUAUGCGGAAAGCGCUUCCGUACACGCGUUAGUACAAUAACGUGGAGCUGUUUUCUUGCUAGGGCGGACGUGGAUUUUCUUUCUCUAAAUGCGAAGACUCUGAAGUUGUUAGAUUGAGUCAAGUUGUAAAACCAAACUAUUAAAUACUUUUCUUAUUAGUGUAUAAAAACUUUUUUUUAUUAUUAUUACGUCACCUUCUCUUUUCUAAACAUUCACUCAAUGUGUAAGUCCAACUUUGCAUAGGUGCUCGUAUACAACUUUGUCGCUUGCAUGAGAUCGAGCAAAGCUCUCGUCUCUCGCGUCUCCUCUGCAUCAGCAUUUGCUUCGCUGUAACGUUAUUAUUGUACUUGCUCUUAGUAUGUCUUUUAUUGUAACUUCAUUCAUUCAAACAAUAUGAUGAGUAGCAUUCAUGUUCACCCUUUCUUGUUGUACUUGCUCUUUGUUUAUAUUGUCUACAUUUACUUGCUAACGAAAAACGUCAUUUCUUAUGCAAUACAACUACUGCUUAAUUUGUUCCUUCUAGAUUUAACAUGGUGGGAGUAGAAUGGGUGGAGUACAACUACUGCUUAAUUUGUUCUUUCUAGAUUUAACAUGAUGGGAGUAGAAUGGGUGGUUGGCUGGUCAAACGAAGUAACAACACGAUUUGCACACACCAAGCCAACGUGACAUCACUUGCAUAUCAUAAACUACAUGUGCCAAGCUUACAUAAACCUCUUUUUGGCUCAUAUCCAACCCCUUUCUAGGCCACUCCAAAUUCCUGGCUACACAUCAUCACCCAAACGAAUUGGAGACAACGUACUCACUCUGUCCCUAUUUAUUAGUCAUUUUGGCUAUGGUUCUAGCUAUCUAGCAUCUUUUACGUAUAUAGAUGUUACGUGUCGAGAUUCAAAUAUUCGUUUAUGUAUCUAGGAAGAGGCCCAAAUAACAGAUAAAUAGAGAGAGAGAGAGAGUAGAAACAGCUAAUGUAGCAUGAGGAACUUAUACUUGGGUUAUAUCCGGUGGUAUUUGACAGGUCUAGAGCAACUCCAAUAGUUUGCUAAAACUCAAUUGGCAAAUCUAUAGUUUUGCCAAGUCUUAAAACCAAAUGCCAAGUAAAAAAAGAGGUCUUCUCCAACAGUUUGCUAUUUAGACUUGGCAAAAGAACUUGACAUCUUAGGAUUUUUGCCAAAGUCACAAAAUUGAGCCUCCAACAAGUUGGCAAAACUAGUUGGUAAAUUGGGAUACACGUGAUACCAAGUGAUGGAGGACUUGGCAUAUUUGCCAAGUGAAGGGGGAAUUUUGCCAAGCUCACAAAAUUGCCAAGUAGUUUUGCCAACUUGUUGGAGGCUGUUUUUUGUGGUUUUGGUAAAAAUCCUAGGAUGCCAAGUACUUUUAGCAAACUAUUGAGUUGCUCUUCAGGCUACAAAUUUUUAGCAAAGAGACUGUGAUGCCAUAAAUCUAGAAUUUUCUUUUCCUAAUAUAAAAUGGCUUCGGUCCUCCAUAACUUCAUUGCUGAUGCUGCUUUUUACGUUGCCAUAUUUAGCACACAACUCCUGUAGGAGCAGGAGCCGAAGCAGCUACUAGAGUGACACUAAACAACCUCUACAUAGCAAGUAUACAGUGCUUAUUAUACUGUUAUAACACUUGUACUUCCAAAGAAGAUUUUAGGAGAGAACUCUUUUUUAUUUACAGUGGAAGGUUAAAAGCACCUAAAAAUACCUUGCUAUUUUUAGAGCUGGUCAGUACAGAGAAAAUAUAAAAAAUUAUUGCCUCCUAAAAUCUAUUAAUAGAGAUGAGUCUCUUUACAAACCAAUCGAGUUCUCCCCAACAGCCCCCUUUCAUAUGUUCAAAAAAACAGCCCCGCCUUCAUGCCAGCCCUGGUCUAUACAAACAUCACCAGAUCUCUCUCUCUCUCUCUCUCUCUCUCUCUCUCUCUUCCCCGACACUAGUAGCCUGCUCCAUUGGGAAGGGGCAGAACAGAUCCAAGCAGCAGUAGUCUAAUUUGUGCCAUGGCACCUAAAUCCAACACGGUAGGAUGGAUCCAAGGGUGGCGGCAGCCAAAUCUGCGUCCUGGUGGCGAGAUCAAAAGCCAAAAUUUCUAGGUACAUGUCGCUUUAGGGGUUUGUUUGGUUGCUGACCAUGUUUUGCAACAUCUAAGGUUAAGUAUUUGCCACAUUAUGGCUUACCACAUUCGCGGCAAAAUGCAACUGUUUGGUUGAUUACUAAAUGGAGACAAAAUUGUGUGGCUGGUGUUUCAAUGGUGCCAUAAAAAAAUUAACAAAGUUUCCAUAUUAUAUUAAAAUCAAAAUGGUGCUUCUAAUGACCGCGCAACGGCGCUCGCAUGACUCAGCGCUUAGGCCGCCUUGUGCCCUCGCGCCUCAUCCACCCCGCGUGUCUCCCUAUCGCGGCCGUGCUCCCUAGCAGCCCGGUCUCCUCACCGCAUGCACCUCUGAUCCAUCUAACAUCCUUGUUGCUUGCCUCCGUCCUCCCACAACAACGCGACUGGUGGAUGCAGCUGUACGUGGGGCUACAAUUGUGCGUGGGACUACAACUGGUGAAAUCUUCAACUAGUUGUUAUAGCCAACCUUAGGCCUUGUUUAGUUUGCGAAAUGAAAAGUUUUCGGCUACUGUAGCACUUUCGUUUGUUUGUGGCAAAUAUUAUCCAAUCAUGGACUAACUAGAGUCAAAAGAUUCGUCUCGUGAUUUACCGGCAAACUGUCUAAUUAGUUUUUGUUUUCGUCUAUAUUUAAUAUUUUAUGCAUGUAUCGCAAGAUUCGAUGUGAUGGAGACUCUUGAAAACUUUUUGGUUUUUGGGGUGAACUAAACAAGACCUUUAUAGCUAAUUUAAACCAAAUUUUAGUACUAACUAGUUACUAUCAUACCUAUCAAACACGCUCUAAGUUCAUUUUACAUACGCCCUUGCAAUACAUAUAAUUUCUCAUUUUUACAAUUGGUUAUUUAGAGCAAGUAUUAUAGUGGGAUGUAAGCUGGUUAAUUGCUGAGGUGGAAAAGAGAAGAGAGGAGAGAGAGGAGAAGCAGACUGUAAGCUUACAGCCAGCUUAGACACAGGAACCAAGAAACUUUAUGAGAAAGAUAUGUGGACCAUGUAUUAAUAGUGAAUAGCUAACUAUUGUAUGGGUGAGCUGGUAUAAGGAUGUAAAUAACCUUAUAGCCAGCAAGUGGGACUGUAUUAUUAAACUUGAUCUUACUACUCCUAUAGUAGUCCUGCUCCUACCAACCAGACAAACUCUGCGCCAAGUCCAACGGAUGAAAAGCUUCGGAGAAGAGAAGAGGAGAGAAGCACGGUCUGCGAAUCCAGGGGACACGCCUAAACCCUACAGGGUCGGAGGCUGGAGCUACAAAAAGGCCACGGCCUUGUUUAGUUCAUGGGCGAAAUUUUUUCGCGGCACUGUAACACUUUCGUUUGUUUGUGGUAAUUAUUAUCCAAUCAUGGACUAAAUAGGCUUAAAAGAUUCGUCUCGUAAAUUUUGACCAAACUGUACAAUUAGUUUUUAUUUUUAUUUAUAUUUAAUACUUCAUGCAUGUGUCUAAAGAUUCGAUGUGACGGGGAAUCUUAAAAAAUUUUUAGAUUUUGGGUGGAAGUAAACAAGGCCGUGAUCUGAAACACAGAGAGUACCUGUCACGUCAUGGGUUAAUGGCUCCCGGCAAUCUGUCCAAAAAGAAGCCUUGCUGAAGGCCGCAAUGCGCCGCCUUUUGGCAACUUUGGAUCGGAUUGUCCGAUUGUUGUGUACUGGGGACAAGAACUUGCAGAGGUUGGAGAAUGGCUGGUUCCUGCUAGUGCUGUCCUUCCGUGGCCGGGGUGUUGAGACUUUGGGGACAUGCUUUGCCAGGGGAGGAUAUAAUAUUGUUUUAGGGCGCUGUCAACGGGAGACAAGGGGUAUAAUGGUAAGGUCAGCAGUCAUAUGAUGCCUAAGCUUGUCGCCUUGUGAUGCCGUUGGAAGAAAGCUGCCAGAGAGUGGGAGGCACAGGAAAGCGAAGUUCUGUACACCUUACAUAUAGCGAUCUGAUCUCAAAUGUCAAUUUCGAGUACAAUCCUAUUAUUUCUAAUUAGAAGAAGUCCUCUAACAAGGAGUAGCUAUCAUAUUCAAGGGAAGAAAAAAAAUACUUCCUCCAUCUUGUAAUAUAGUGUAUUCUAGCAUUCAAAUUUUGUCCUCAAAUAUAAUACAUUCUAAAAAAUAAAAACCAAUUUUACAUUUAAUACUUUCUAUUUAUUAUCAAUCAUGAUGAUGAUAAUGUCUGAUUAGGAAAUAAAAUAAGGGUACAUGCAUCUUUUAUGUUCUCUCUUAAUUUAUCUUAAAAUUAUUAGAAUGCACUAUAUUACAUGACAGAGGGAGUACAUGCUAGUCAAAUUAUGUCACAAACAACUGUCAUGACAGUUAUAAUAAUCAAAAUUAUGUCAUACAGUAUGUUGCAAGACAAGAAGAUUUCCAUAUCAAAUAGAUCAAGCAUUCAUCAAUAAGAUCUAGAAAAAUAUUUUUAUAUUUAAAAUAUUCCUUCUUUAUUCUAUUUUGUCAAAUAAAUAAAUACCUCAUCUACUACCUCUUAUAGGAAGUAAUACGUGAUCUUAACCAUCCGAACGCCUCGUAGUUAUUUGCGAGUAUUACAACAAAGUCUAACACCGUAGGGGUGUAUAUUUGUCUUGAAAAGCACUCGUAUAAUUAGUGCUUGAUAUAUUAUAACUUUAUCCUUAUAAAAUGAAAAGGUCAAUUGCAUCAAGUAAGCUGUGUAUCUAUGGAGUAGUAGGGCGCACUCGGCUUGCGCCCGCUCAGCUUGAAAUGAGAGGUAAAAGGGUACUCCCACUUGAAAGGUUUAAUUUCUAGAAUUUGUGUUAGUCAUUUUUUUAAAAAUUUAACUAACUUUAUAGAAAAGAGAAUUAAUAUCUAUAACAUAAAAUGAGGAUCUUAUGAAAAUAUAUUCUAUGAUAAAUCUAAUGAUACUAAUUUGAUAUUAUAAAUCUUAGUAUUUUUUUAGAAAUUUGAUCAAAGUUUAAAAAUUUUGACUUAAGACAAGUCUAGGAAUUGAAACUUUCAUGACAGAGGAAGUAUUUGAUUUACGAGCAAGGUCUCCUCGUGAUCUGCACGUUCUAGGAUUUUAUUCUAGGUAAGCUAAUUCUGACUCACCCGCUGUCCGCUAAAGGCAUUCCCAAUGUUAGAAACUACAUAUAGUUUCUAUACCUACUAAUUUCUAUAGACACUACAUAUAAAAAUAUGGUCCCAAUGGAUAGUUUCUACAGAAUAUUUUUUUAUCCAAUCACAUUCAUUCUCUCUUCAUUCUCAACCAAUCACAUCACUUCAUGUCUUGGUUCUCGUGUAGACAUGGUUUCUAUCUUAGAUAUGGUUUCUAUAAUUUUUGCUUUCUCUCUUUAAUAAAUACUUUGCCAUGUCAGCAAAAUGCUUAUGUGGCAAUACAAUUAAUGUUCAUAGAAACUAUGAUAGUUUCUGCAUUGGGAGUGCCUUAAUAAAGUUACGCUAGAAAGAGGUCCAGGGUUGUUUGUUUGACUGUUGAUGCACAUUCAAUGAUAAAUUGAUGGCUUAUGAGGUAAUAGCUCUAAAGAAUAUAUUUUAUAUUUUAAUAGAAGAGAGAAAAGAAUUAUCCCUUAACUAGGAGUUAAUCUUAUAAAUACUAUACUUUCUCCAUACGCGUAAAGAAAGUCGUUUAUGACAAUAACACAGUCUACAAAGCUUAACUUUGACUAUCUGUUUUUAUAAAAAAAUUUAUCAAAAAAUGGUAUAUUUAUAUUUUUAUAAAAAUAUUUUUCAAGACAAAUUUUUUCGAUAGUUUUUACAUUUCCAAAGUCAACAAUUUAAAAAUUAUUUUAUGAUUUAAAUUCCAAAUAUUUAAUCCAAACCUUGUCUAGAAUGACUUUCUUUAGGUAUGGAGGGAGUACUCUAAAAGCCAUGGCCAUGCCCAUGGGCAUGCAGGCUAUGCGACCAUAUAGGGCCUCAGAUUUUUUUGGGCCUCAAAUUUGCAUUUCAUUAGGAAUCUACAAAUUGCUGCAAGCUUGCAAUACUGCAUCAGUUCUUCCUUUCCUCUUCCACCGCCCUAUAAGGCCCCUAUUUAAGCCCCCAUAGUUAAAUAUGGGUACCAAGCCUAAAAACAACACUGUCCCUACUAGAGCCCCCAAUUAGGAGUGGGCACCCAAAUCUCCCCUACAGACCUCAUUCCUGUUGGCCCAACACCCUAGCCCCCAUCUGCAUGGUGUGGCCAUUACCUCCCCGCACCGUACAGACGCAGCCUCACCCACCUCCCUCCAACGUCGAUCUCCACUACCGCGCUCCCUCCCUCCACCUUGACCUCCACCGCUAGGCCUUGCCCUCAUCCCCUCCGGUGAGAGUGUCCCCUCCUCGAUGAGCGGGAGCAGCCCCAGCCAUGGUCGUCUCGAGUGUCGAGCCUCCCCUUCUUGCAGCCGCACGGUAGCGACACCGCUCCUCCCUUCCCUGUGGCUAGCCUCUGCUCUGACAAACAUGGGUGGAUCCAUCGGUACGCAACUCUGGUGCGGCCUCUUCCCCGCCACGCAGGCACUGCCCUGAUGCGCCAAGAGCUCUCAUCUCCUUUGCGUCCUGACCUCUCUAUGAAGGAUGUAAGAAAGAAAGAUUUGACCCAAUGACGAGUGGGUUCCACAUGCCAUUUUCUGCCAAUUUGGAUUUUGGGGCCUUCAUCUGGGUGUUGUGGUUGGAGUGGAAGCAAAAAUUUUGGGCACCUAAAAGUAGGAGGAGCACCCAAAUAAAAAGUAGAGGCCCUACUUUUGGGGCUACUGCUGGAGUUGCUCUUAACUCGUCCAUCCACCGCUCAAAGUCAGUAGAAGCUGCAAGCUGCCCCGUCCAUAGAGCCCAAUGCUUAGUAAUUGUCUUAUAUAGUUUUCUAUAUAUUGUUAGAAUUAUUUCUUUUGAUACUGAAUGCCAAACUUUAUCCAGUUUGUGUUGAGCUUUAGUACUAGAAUUAUUUCUUUAGAGGUUUGUCAUUUCAUUUUUAUAAUUUGGUAGGGCCUAUUUUGAAGUUCAGAACAAGGCCUUAGAUUUUGCCAGCACAACCCUGCUAAAAUCAUAUUCCCUCUGUCUCUAAAUAAUUGUUAUUUUCUUUUUUUUCGCGACCAUGCUUCAUGCAUGUAUAUCAUUAAGAAGGAAAUAGAGGUUUUUGUUACAAAGCAUACCCGACCAGCCUUGGAUGCGAGUAGCACACUACAACAGAGCAAAGAACACCUUGCAGCCGCAUGAACAAACAUUGCUACUAAAAGGAUUACAUGGUGACCAAAUUAAUGACUUUUUUGGGAGUCAACUAGCUAGACUGGAUGCCCAAAGUGCUGUUAGGUAGCAGUAGCCCGCCUGCAACCACCGGUCAGCUUCCUCAACAGCAAAAAUAGAUAGUGCAACACGGUACGGAUGGCACCAUGGAAGACCCUCUGGUUUCACUCCUUCCAAAGGCACUAGGCUCCCAAGAUGAUGAGGGAGUCGAAGCCUUUUCGCAUUGAUGACGUGAGCAGCGUGUGGGACGACAGCCACCAAUAGAGAAAGGCAGGACCCGAUGACGAUGUGAAGCUGGCAAGGCCAAUGGUUCUAGCACUCUGAACCAAACUUCAUGGGCAAACACACACUCAGCCUGCCAAGUGCCUAGUAGUCUCCUGGUCGGCAAAGAUGUCAUCGUCCUGCAAUCCAUGUCGCUUCUAAGGUGCCGCAGUCCAUAAGCGUUCAUGCAGCAGUAGCCAGAAGAACAACUUGCAUUUCGAUGGAGCCCAAGCCUUCCAUAGCUCCUUCGCACCCCAUAGCAAGGUCAUUCCAAUGAAGUAGUCCCAGUAAGCCAAGGAUGCAGAGUACGCACCAUCCGCAGUCUAUCUCCAUAUGAAUCUGUCGCUAGAGAGGUCAUCGAAAACCACCCCCUCAGACCUUUGCUCAAAUGAGGACAUAAUCACAUAGCACAUGUGUGGUCCAAGCACCAUGUAUACCAUGUACAUAGCUCCUGUUGUCGAUUACCUCAUGCACUGACUUCUAGCGUUGGCGCUUGUCGAUGGCGUUGAAAAGGUGCAGUGCAAAGCAGCAAAUCAGACCCUCAAGCAACCAGGAGUUGGUCUAGAACUUCGCCGAGCGACCGUCGCCAAUGAUGACCAUGACAGAUGUCUAGAACAUAGCUUGUACCGUUCGUUCUGACUUUCGCGGUACACUACACCAACCAAGCCCAGGGUGCGUGCGAUGUAGCCACUCCCAGCGUAGUCGAACGAUGAACCCCACUAUCCACAAGUCUUGAAUGGCCAGCCCACCCUAAGCUAUGGACAUGUUCACUAGCUGCCAGGCCACCCUGCACCUGCCACCUACCACAUUGUUUGUGCCCGUUUAGAGGAAGGCGCGACAAAGCUUACCAAUCUAGCAUAGCACCCAAGUGAAGAGCCCAGAGGCGAUGGAGACUGUUGACACUGUUUUUUGACACGUACCUAGGAUCGGUAGAGUGUAGAUCGACAAGAUAGUGCAGCAGUAACUGGUCUGCAGGAGAGUUGCCGAUGAGGAUGGUUGCCGAUGAAGAGGUAGCUGAAUGCAGCUAAGUCCAUGGGUGGUGAUAUGUUUAUGCCGAUGGUCAGCAUUAACCUUUGCCGAUGGCUACAAUGAAGAGUCUGCUGAUGAUGCGGGAGGAAGGCUUGAAGGUUGCCGAUUGGUCUAUGGUGGUGUCCUGGUUUGUCACGGGAGGAUAGUUUUAUGUUUUCCUUAGAUUAUUUAAAUCGUUUUGUAUACGGAUUCUGUUUAAUUUGGAAUUUGAGUUCUAGUCGUGUCUGGUUGUAGCUCUUUGAGCAGGGUAUAAAUAUAGACCCUAGGGCCUUGUAAUAACUAUCUAUCAAUCAAUCAAACACAAGUUUUUACUCAUAUUCCAGCAUCUACUUUUUCAACGACUUCGUCAUAUUUUCCCUUUUUCAUUAUGAGUUCUUAGGAGUUUGUCGACUUAAGCUCGGCGUAUUCUCGAGUUUCGCGUGAAUACCUCUUGGCCGUGACUUCCGGGCGCAUCGCUGUUGUCGAGACCAAAGUAUUCGAGUUAUCACCUUUGCCGAUAGUAAGGUCAAAUCGGCUGGCACGCCUUAACGUUUAAAUCAGGUAUUAGCCCUCUGUGUUUGCAGAUCCAGCUUUUGCAUCAACAUAUCUUUUGGCAUGCCCGGUGGGACCAGAUUCAAGAUCAAGAUCAACAUGUCGACUACCGAGUUUGACUUGGAGAACGUCAUCUCCGUGACAGAAGCUAGCCUCAAAGAUGAGCAAAAGCAAGCUAUUGCGAAGGCUAUGGAGGAUUACAAGCAACAAUGUCUCAAGGCUUUCAGCAUCAAGAGGAGUGGUGAGGUGAUCCAGAAGGAGGCACUGUCGGCCCCUCGGCAGGUUACUUUUGAAGUCAAUCCUGGUAAACUCCAAGACAUGCUCAAUAGUGCUAUCAACCGUGCCUUGAUCAACCAAGCUGGUGUGCUGUCCAAUAUGGUUUUCAAUGCCGUGGCUAGAACUUUCAAGGAAGAACAAUUGCCACCGAAUUAUGUGGGCCCUGUCUAUCAUCAGCCAGGAUCGCCAGUGGUUACGGCUCCAUCGGCUGCUACGGCCGCUGCAGGCACAGAAACUACUGUUCCUCCAAGCACGCUGGGAGUAUCUAAUGCGCAAUUCACGCCGAUGCCGUCCAAUCCAUCAACAUCAGAUGAGUCGAUCAAGCUUACUACAGAUCUAUUGGCAUCGACAAUGUCGGGAUCGGUUCCUCCUAAUUGGUGGGGUUUUGGUAUGCCCCCGGAAUACUUGAAGACACCUGGCACAUCUCAGGCACCUGUUAUGAGAGGCAAGGCUCCUAUGGCAUCGGCACCUCCAAAUAUGCCGAUGAAUUAGAGUCCCCAGUAUACUACAACCACUACUGCAAGACCUUACACUGGGAAUUCACAAGCUCCAAUGUUCCAGAUGCCUAAUGCAUCGACAGAUUCAAUGCCGACGCAGCAGGGGUUUAUGGCUCAGCAAGGGUAUGUCAACUCAAUGAUGAUGCCCAAUUGCCAGUCAUCGGUAGGACCUAUGCUGAUGAAUGCUAAUAGUGGAUGGUCUCGGCCGCAAGUCUUUCCACAGAUGCCUCAACAGAAUCAUCAGGCUACAGGGUUUCAGCAAAGCCAGAUCUACCCUGGGUUUCAGAAUCAAGGAUUGGUCAACCAGCCGAUGAAUCUCGGCCAGCAGAUUGGUGGUCAGCAGAUCGGUGGUUAACAGUUUGGUGGUCAGCAGAUCGGUGGUCAUCAGAUUGGGGGCCAGAUGAUUAACCCAAUGUUCCAUGCAGAUCGCGCACCGCAUAGACACGUGGAAGCAUAUCAGCAGAUCCCAGAUCCGCAACCACCUCAUCGGCAAGAUGCCGAUGCUUAUUGGGCUGAUAAGAUUGCUGAAGUAAUGAGAGACCAAUUUGGGAUAAAACCCAAAGUCAACACUUACUCUUAUUGGACACUGUAUCCUCCUGCAUAUGAUUUAAUCCCGCUUCCAAAUCGGUACAAAGUGUCGGAUUUUACUAAGUUUUUUGGGCAGGAUGAUACAUCAACCAUGGAACAUGUCAACAGGUUUAUCAUUCAAUGUGGAGAAGCUGCUAACAGGGACGAGUUAAGAGUCCGGUUGUUCUCGUCAUCAUUGUCUGGAUCGGCGUUCACCUGGUUUAUAUCGUUACCUCCCAACUCAGUGAUCACUUGGGCCGAUCUAGAGAAGCAAUUACACAAGUAAUUCUUUUCUGGAGUCCAUGAGAAAAACAUCACCGAUUUGGUCAAAUUGAAGCAACGCAAUGAUGAAUCGGUUGAAAGUUUUGUGCAGAGGAUACAGGAGGUCAAGAACAAGUGUUAUAGUUUAGUUCUGGACGAUCGGCAGCUAGCCGAUUUGGCUUUCCAGGGUUUGUUGCCGCACAUCAGGGACAAAUAUGCUUCUUAGGAGUUCGAGAGCCUAAGUCACUUGGUCCAGAGGAUUUCUGACCAAGAUAUUAAGCCCUUUGAACCUAAGAGGGCUUGGAACAAAAAUGUGUCAUUUGUUGAUGAGGCAGCGAGCUCGGACUCUGAUGAAGAACCAGUCAUCGGCUUGGUAGAAUGGGUAAAGAAUAAAAAGCCGAUGUCUUGCCCUUUUGGGCAUAAAGAGCCAGAAAUGUUCGCAUUUGACAUCACCAAAGCCGAUAGGAUAUUUGACUUUCUACUUCAGAAAGGUCAGAUCAAGUUGUCACCCAACCACAUGAUCCCAUCGGCUGAAGAAUUAAAGAAGAUGAAAUACUGCAAAUGGCACAAUGCAACUUCUCACAGCACCAAUGAGUGCAAAGUUUUUAGGCAAUAGCUGCAAUCAGCUAUAGAAUCUGGGAGGAUUAAUUUGACAGCUCCAAAACUCAGAAGCCGAUGAAGAUUGAUCAACAUCCUUUCCCAACAAACAUGCUGGAUGCUAAGGGAAAGGCCAAGGUCUUGACAUCAGAAGCAGCUGAAAGAAGUGUAUCGGUGGAUCCUCAGCAUCAGAUCACUACUGCCGAUGCUAAGGGAAAAGGUUUAAUCCCAGAAGGGAAUAACUCAGGGAGACCUCCCCAAUCUGGUAUAGUGAUAAUUCAUAGAAGGCCUCGGGAGACUUGGCAGCAACGUGAGGAUCGGUAUCGGCGCCAGCAAGAGGACUAUCAUCGGGAAGAAGAAAGACGCCGACAGGAGUGGAAUCGGCAUAGGGAUCACUAGAAUUGUCCGUUCUUCAUCCAUUGUUGGGAGGAAAAUAUCAAGCUUCCUACUGUCAGAGACUGCCCGGAGUGUAAUGGUUAUGAUCGGUAUGACAGAUCCGAUCGGCGCUAUCACAAUGAUGAUCGGCGAUUUAAUGGGCUGAUUAGGGGGAGAGCGUAUGUUCAUGAUAGGCUGGGGGGCAGGCUCAGCGUGCAUGAUAGGCUUGGUGACCGUGUCGAAUACUUUCCCAGGAACCUGGAAGAGCUUGAGGAGAUGGCUAAUGCAUGAGUUCCUGAUGAGUUCAUAUUUUGCAGGGAUGCCAAUACUUAUCGGAUGGAGUCAAGGGAAAAUCAUCGCCCAUCGGUAAGGCAGCAACAACUUCCUCCAUGGUGUCCAGAGGGGUUAACCAGGACACAGAAAAGGAGGCUGUAACGCGAAAGACGAGAGGAGUUGAACAAGGGCGAGAACUCUGACCAGUCUGGGGAUCAGCAACAAUCAGAUCCCAAGAGAAAAGGUCCAUCGGUAGAUGUCAAUAUGGUAUUUAUGUUGCCAAUGGAAUUCCUUGCGCCGUCCAGUGAUGAUGAGUUGGAGUUUUCUAACCAGAUAGCUCAGUUGGUUCUAGAUCCGAUGACAGCCAUCUUUGAAAAGUCUACCGAUGUUGAAAGGCAACAUCUUAAGGCUCUGUUUAUCAAAGGAAGAGUGGAUGGUCAGCCGAUGACCAAGAUUUUGAUUGAUGGUGGAGCUGCUAUCAAUAUCAUGCCAUAUAUAGUGUAUCGGAAGCUCGGAAAAGGAGACCAGGACUUGACCAAGACCGAUGUGAUGCUCAAAGACUUUGAAGGGAAUGUGUCUCCGGUCAAGGGAGCCAUCUGUGUUGAAUUGACUAUCGGCAGCAAAACCUUGCCGACAACCUUCUUCGUGAUCAGUGGGAAAGGUGCUUAUAACUUGCUGUUGGGAAGAGAUUGGAUUCAUGCCAAUUGUUGCAUCCCGUCUACAAUGCACCAGUGCUUGGCCCAGUGGAUAGGUGACAAGAUUGAGAUUGUCCCGGGAGAUUCUUCUUAUGUCAUCGCAUCGGCAGAGGCAGACACCUAUGAAAGAACUAGGUGCAUCUCGGGGAAAUUUGGGAAAGGAUUUUCUCAAAGUCGCCGAUUAUGAAAUUCCACCGAUCCAAGCAGUCGGUUCUGAUGAAGGUUUUUAAUGGAUAGGUUCGCCGAUGAUGGAAAAUUAGGCCAGGGAUUAACAUCGGCCGAUGAUUUGGUAGAGGUAGAUAUAGGUAGUGGUGAUAAGCCUAGACCUACUUUUAUUAGUGCUAAGUUAAAUUCUGAGUGUAAGCAACAGUUAACUGACUUGUUAAAGGAAUAUAAAGAUUGCUUUGCUUGGGAUUAUACUGAGAUGCCUGGUUUGGACCGAUCAAUUGUUGAACAGCGGUUGCCUAUCAAGUUUGGAUUUCGGCCAUAUCAACAGCCAGCUUGUCGAUGUAAUCCCAAUAUUCUUCUUGAUAUCAAGGCCGAAAUAACCAAACUUAUUGAAGCUAAAUUUAUUCGGCAAUGUCGGUAUGCCGAGUGGAUUUCCAAUGUUGUUCCGGUUUAUUAGAAAAAUGGGAAACUUCGGGUCUGCAUUGAUUUCAGAAAUCUUAAUAAAGCUACACCGAUGGAUGGCUACCCAAUACCAUUUGCCGAUCUGCUCGUUGAUGUUGCGGCUGGGCAUCGGAUCAUCAGCUUUAUGGAUGGCAAUGCAGGAUACAAUCAGAUAUUUAUGGCUGAAGAGGAUAUUCCAAAGACGACAUUUAGAUGUCCUGGUCAUGUUUGGUUGUUUGAAUGGAUAGUCAUGACCUUUGUCUUGAAGAAUGCUGGUGCUACUUAUCAGAGGGCUAUGAAUUUUAUAUUUCAUGAGUUCAUCGGCAAGCUGGUUGAAAUUUAUAUUGAUGAUGUGGUGGUUAAGUCUGGAGAUUUCACAAAGCAUCUUGCCAAUUUGCGAAAGGUGUUGGAAUGCACAAGGAAGCAUGGUUUGAAGAUGAAUCCCAAUAAGUGUGCAUUUGGUGUAUCGGCAGGACAAUUUCUUGGCUUCAUGGUGCAUCAAAGAGGGAUCGAAAUUAGCCGGAGAUCCAUUGAUGCUAUCAACAAAAUAGUUUCCCCUACCAAUAAGACUGAGCUCCAAUACUUGAUCGGCAACGUAAAUUUUAUCAGGAGGUUUAUAUCUAACUUAUCUGUAAAAUUCGUGCUUUCAGUCCUUUACUUAAGUUGAAAGCCGAUCAAGAGUUCAUCUGGGGAAAAGAGCAACAAUUGGCCUUGGAUGAAAUCAAGAAUUAUUUGGUAAAUCCUCCAGUUCUGAUUCCACCUCAGCAAGGGAAGCCCUUCAGAUUGUAUUUAUCUACCGAUGGGAUGGUCAUCGGUUCGGCUUUAAUUCAAGAAUUUGAAGGGAAGGAACGUGUGAUUUACUAUUUGAGUAGGAGAUUGGUUGAUGCUGAGACGAGGUAUUCGGCUAUUGAAAAGUUAUGUUUGUGUCUUUAUUUCUCAUGUAUUAAGUUAAGACACUACUUGCUAUCGGCCGAAUGCACUGUCAUAUGCAAAGAUGACGUGGUCCGGUAUAUGUUGUCUAUGCCGAUUAUGAGUGGUAGAAUCGGUAAGUGGAUUUUGGCACUGUCAGAGUUCGAUCUGCGUUACGAAUCGGCUAAAGCGGUUAAAGGACAGAUUAUGGCCGAUUUUGUGGCUCAACAUUGCGGUACAGUGGAGACUUUGGAAAUUGUGCCUUGGACACUCUUCUUUGAUGGAUCUACCUGUGACCGGGGGGCAGGAAUCGGCAUCGUGUUAAUUUCCCCUCGAGGAAGGAAGUAUGAAUUCUCUUUGCCGAUUGUUGCCACGUCAACGAAUAAUCAAGCUGAGUAUCGAACUUUGAUAAGGUUGGAAUUACUAAGGGAAGUUCAUGUUGACGCUGUUGAAAUCUUCGGGGAUUCUAUACUGAUUAUAAAUCAAUUGGCUGGAAGCUAUGAAUGCCGAAGUGAGGUCCUGAUAACUUAUUAUGAAAGGAGUAUGCAACUGUUAAAGGAAUUCAAGGAUUUCCGGUUAGAGCAUGUUCCUCGGUUGCAUAAUGAAGAGGCCAAUCGGUUGGCUCAGCAUGCCUCGGGAUAUCUGCCCAUGAUUAAUGCAAUAUCGGCAAUCGGUGCCGAUGAUUGGAGAAAAGAACUCAUUGAUUAUUUAAAGGAUCCAUCCAAGAAAGUUGGGAGACGUGUUCGGUUUCAAGCCACCUAGUAUGUGCUCCUCGAAGAUGAAUUAUAUUACCGAACUGUUGAUGGGAUUCUUCUCAGAUGUUUAGGUGAUGAUGAGGCUAAGAAUUUGAUGGGAGAAAUCCAUGAAGGAGUAUGUGGAGCACAUCAGUCGGCUUUUAAGAUGAAGUGGAUGAUUAGGAGGAAUAGGUAUUAUUGGCCGACUAUACUUGAAGAUUGCUUUAAAUAUUUCAAGGGGUGUCUAGGAUGUCAGAAAUUUGGCAAUGUUCAAAGAGCACCCGCAUCGGCCAUGAAUCCUAUCAUCAAACCUUGGCCGUUUCGAGGAUGGGCUAUUGACUUGAUCGGCCAGAUUUACCCGCCAUCCAGCAAAGGACAUAAAUUCAUUCUGGUUGCCACCGAUUAUUUUACUAAGUGGGUUGAAGCUAUUCCUUUGAAGAAGGUUACAUCGGCCAACAUGAUCGAUUUUGUGAAAGAGCAUAUUAUUUACCGAUUUGGAAUUCCUCAAACGAUCACUACCGAUUAGGGUACUAUGUUCACAUUGGGGGAGUUUGAUGAAUUUGCAAUCGGUAUGGGAAUUAAAGUAUUAAACUCUUCUCCUUAUUAUGCUCAAGCUAAUGGGCAGGCCGAGGCGUCUAACAAAGGGAUUAUCAAGCUUAUUAAGCGGAAGAUUGAAGAAAACCCUAGGAGGUGGCACACGUUGUUAAAUGAGGCUUUAUGGUCAUACCGGAUGGCUUGUCAUGGAUCGACUAAGGUUUCACCUUAUCAGUUGGUAUAUGGGCAUGAUGCGGUGUUACCUUGGGAAAUUAAGACUGGGUCUAGGCGACUAUCUUUUCACGAUCAAUUAGCUGCCGAUGAUUAUGCUACUUUGAUGACAGACGAGUUGGAUGAUCUAGCAGGACAUCGGCUAAGGGCUUUGAUGAGUAUAGAAGAGAAUAAGAAGAGAGUUGCCAGAUGGUAUGAUAAGAAGGUAAAAGCUAAGGAGUUUGCCGAUAGAGACUUAGUAUGAAAGCUAAUCUUACCGAUCGGGACUAAAAGUUCAAAAUUUGGGAAGUGGUCUCCCAAUUGGGAAGGUCCCUAUCGCAUAAGUCGAUCGGCUCCUGGUAACGCCUAUAUUUUAGAAACUCUUGAAGGAGUUGAAUUUCCCAGAGCAUUAAAUGGCAAAUAUCUAAAAAAGUAUUACCCAAGCAUAUGGGUCGAUGCGUAAAAGUUUAAGUGCCGAUAACAUUCCUAUCGGCUGGAUCAAAAUGUAUCUGGGGGUGGACUUAAUGUUUUAAAAGGCGCCGAUAACAGUCCUAUCGGAUAGACCAAAAUACUAGGGUUGUUCAAAAGAAAAGAGCGAGCAUGUUGCCGAUGAAGAGUUCACAUGUUCAGCAGCGUCUGGAUCACCGAUAUGGCGCGCAGGCAGAUCUGGUUGGCUGCUUCUAUCUCUUUGAUAUCUUCAUCGGCAGAGCCUUCCACCAGCUUCAACUUCUUCUUCAUCUGCAGCGCUCUACGGCCAUGGACAUUUCACUCUUGUUCAAGGAGUUUGAUCGCCUCGGGCAGCUGGCUUUCCUCUUGUUGAGCUUGGGACAAGGCUUCUUCCACUUGUUUGAGUUCUGCCAACAGGGCUUCUCUUUUGGCUGACAGAUCAGAGAUCUUGUGCUUCAGUGCAUCUCCUGAGGACUUCAAGAUGCCGAUGUUCUUGUGCUUCUCAUCGGCAAGGAGCUUCACUUUCAUCAUCUUCUCGGAAAGCUGAGUCUGAGCAGCUAUGUCGGCAAGACGCUGGGUGGCCUUUUGGUAUUGCAGCUGACGGCUCUCCAGAUGUGCAGCUUGAAAAAGGAUUUCUUCAGCAUCGGCAGGAAUUUGGCUUCUGAGGAUCUUGAACAAAGCCUUAGACGGGUCAGAAUCAUCGACCAGUUGGGCUGUGUCUUGAUGAAGGAAGGCUGAUAGUUCUUCUAACUUUGCCCUGAUGUAACAUCCCCGAUGUUACGGUUACUAAAAUUUGGAACAUGUCAUCAUUAGCAUUGCACAACAUAUUUGUUAAGCACACCCUGAUGCAUUACCUUAAAACAAGUUUAAUUUGGUUGAAUGUGCUUAGGGAAUUAAAGUGUGUUUCUAUUGUGUAUUGAUGCUUGUGUUGGUUGCUAAAACCCUAGGGUGAAAGUUUUCCGAGAGGUUAGGGGGGGAAACCCUGAUUUUUUUUUGAACCCUAGAAUUGCCCAUUUUGCACAAUUUUAAAACUAAGCAAAAUUUGAGGUUGAGUUCAAAAGCAAAGUUGUAGAUCUUGUCAAGGGGUACAACUUUGUUGUUUUGAGUUUUUGAAGUUUCAAUACAAAAUUCAAAGUAAUUUUGAAAAUACAGAUUUCCAGAAAGUGUCCCCUUUUCCAAUUUGAAUCUCCAAUUCAAAAUCCAUUUGGAAUUUUGAAAAGUGACCAACAUGAAAGUUGUAGAGUUCAAAACGUUGAACAACUUUCAUGUUGGGAGUUUUUCAAGUUGUUUGGAAAAAUCAAAAGUAAUUUUGGAAAUUCUGAUCUGUCCCAAUUCAAAAAUUUGAAUUUCCCCAAAUUGGAUUUUGAACUUCAAACUGUUUGGUCAAAUUCACCAUGUUCCACUCAAAAUAAGCUCUGGUCACCAAAAUAUGAUUUGUAGCUUAUAAAAUUUUGCACAACUUUUGUUUUGGUGGGUUUUUGACUGUAGUUCAAGUUUUGGCCGAAUUUUACAAAAGACAGAAAGGGGGAGGAUAAGGGCCAGCUACAGUGAUCCGAUGAGGAUCACCGGCCCCUGUCCAGCGCAUCCGCCGCGCGAGCAGCACCGCGCGCAUGCGUGCAAGCACGCAGCUGCUUGCUGCCAGUGCCGCCAGGCGACGUGGAUGCCCCGGGCUCGCUUCCUCCUCUCCUUUGAGCGCCAGCGUGGACGACGCCGCCCGAGUUCUCUGUCGACGCCCAAGGAACCCCGAUGACUCUCUCUCUCAAAUUGACCAUACCCAAUCCCUCCCGAGCCAAAUUGAACACUCCGUAGCAUUCGCCACCUCCUUGCGAACUCAGCGCACCCCCUAGCUCUUUCUCUAACCCACCCAGUCGUCAGAGCUCCUCUGUUCUUCUCCAACUCCGGCCGAGACCGCCGCCGUGAGCUUUCUCCGUGGCCGUGCUAUUCCAGUGAGCAAACGAUCGAACUAGCGGAUGUUUCUGUUUUCUUUUUAUCUCUAGUUGCUCAUGCGCUCGUUCCUUUUCCCUGGACGCGAACAGGAUCGCCGGAACGACCUCGCCGGAGCCGGAGCACCCGCCAGACGGCACCGUCUUCGUCGCCAGCAGUCUCGGCUACCUCCCAGAGUCCCGCGAUGUGAGCACCGUGCUCCUUAACACUCCCUGAACCUCUCAGCCUUCAUGGUUCACGCUCUACCGAGCCCUAGUGGCCGGCCGAUGGUCGGCCAUGGCGGCCACCCGCUUUUCGCGUGGCCGGGGAGGAGGGAGACGGUAGAGCACGAGUAGAGGAUGGCAGUGGAGUCGCAAGGUCGAGGCGGAGCUGAUGCGCACGCGCGCGUGGGCGGAGUACUUCGCUAACGGCGGCCGGAGUCGCGGCGGAGCCGCCGCGCGCGAGGGAGGAGGAGCUGACGGGUGGGGCUACCCCGUCAGCGUCCCGUAGAGAGAGGGGAGAGGACGGCCUGACGAGCGGGACCCGCUCGUCAGUGACCGCGUGAGGGGGAGGGCGCGCGCUCAGCGCCCGCGUGGGCUGAGCGGGAGUGGGCCGGCCUGCGGGCCGAUCUCCCGGCCGCUCGCUGCACAGUAGUGUUUUUCUUUUUCUUUUUAUGCAGUUUUUGCUUUAUGUUUGAUUUUGUGUAAUAAAUUAUUUAGUGAUCCAAAAAUCAUGGAAAUUUUUGUAUAGAUUCUCUGAAAUGAGUAGAACACAGGGAAAAUGUUAAGUUUUAUUUUCUAGUAGUUUGCAAGUAUAUAAAAAUUACCUCUUUUAUUUAAUGAAUAAAACUUCUAGGAAUUUUAAUAAUUUAUUAAUAUGUCCAAAAAUCACCAAACUUUGUGGGGAGUCUCUGAAUAUUAUUCCCUGGCUUCACCCAAAAUUUGGUGGCAUUUGGAUAAGGUUUGAAUAAAACAAUAUUAAACCCUUCAUUAGUAAUUAAAUAAUAACACUAGAAUAAUUAAAUAAUAAUUAGUCAAAUCCUCAAAAUCAGGAUUUGAGUGAUUUUGGGGUUGUGUGAUGACCUGAGGUCAUUAAACUUAAUGACCUUUGGCAUUUAAUUAUUGUUUGGCUUAAUGCUUAAUUACUGUCAUUAAUAUUUAAUUAAGAAUUAACUAGUAUAAAAAGGAUUAAUAAUUAGUUAAUUAAAGACAAUUAUGAAUUAAGAGGAAUCUUAGUUUACAAAUGCAACCUCUUGGGUAAAGACACUAAGAUGAUAAACAACUUUAUUUAUUGUUUAGUCUAUAUUGCUCCGAGAAGGCAAGUUGUACUCGACUUGGUCCUUCUUCCAUAUUUGUCAUACGCAUAUCAUGAGCAUUCAUCAUUUUGCGUAUAGUGUCCGUGACCGAAGGAGCGACCGUCGAGCCGAACCCCGAAGUCGGUGCUCCGUUCGAGGAAGUAGGAUCCGAGACUUGGGAAGUCUCCGAGGGUCCCUCUCUGCCCUGCAACCAAGGCAAGCCCCGGAUGCAUUAACCCUGCCUUGAAUGUUUUAAAUCUUUUAUCACUUAUGAAUUGAAAAUGCUGCAUUAGGUAGUUGAGAAUUGGGUUAACCUACUUGCUGCAUUUACUACCUUGAUAUCUGUUAUCCUGUCCUUGACACCUGUUUUAUUUUAAAACUGCGUAGUUAUGCUUAGCCCUGCUACUAGAUAGGUUUUCAAACAAGAAAGUUUGAAGGGUUGUUGUGGAAUACACUUAUGCUCAAUAAUGUUUCAAUUUGAGACCGGUCGGUGGACUUGCUUUAAGAAUGGAGUCUUAAAGUAGUGUCUCCAACUGUGUCGAUUAAGGACCGGUCCGUUGAUGGCCUGCUGGGUUGAGAAUUUAUAGUACUAGCCACUUACCCUCGGUAAGCCCGAUCUUGUGAUCCCUCGACGCGAAUAGCUACUCGCGCACUGGGCGUGGAGCGAUGGCGAGAGUAGUGUGUACCCACCUUACGGAUCUGAGAUGACUAGGAACCAUCUAGAUCGGCUGUAGGAUGGUGGAGUACUAUGCUCUCGGGUGCCGCGAACCUGGUCAAAUUUGGGGAGAGCUUGAUUUGGGUUGACAUAUGCACGAUUUGGUUCUACAUAUGUCGGGUGGUUAGGAACUCUAGCUGGAUUGCUAAGCGAUUCGAAUUGUCGUUGCUCCCCGAUUGGGAGACUCAAUUCCUUCGACCCUCAUCGUAGAUAAAUAUGCAACUAAGUGAUAAAAUGAGAAAGGGGAAAAUGUCUCAUGAGGUUCGGAUCCCAAUUUCCGAACUCAGAGUGACAUGAAGCUAUGGCCGUUGGAUAGAUAAUACUCUAAUUUAGGACUAGGAACUCACAGACUUGUCUGUGCGAGGCAACUAGUUAGACUGUCCUCGAACUCCUCGGCCUCUUAAGGAGAGGAAUUCGCGGAUAAAACUUGAAAGUAAGGAUGCACUAUUAGUAAGCUUUUCCGCAAAACACUUGGGCUCCUUGCUCAGCCACCCCUUGUCUACCCCAAGCCUACAUUCCUAUUUUUUCCUCUUUUUCUACCGGGUAAGUCUUGUUGAGUACUCCCGUACUCAGGGUUUUACAACCCCUGUUGCAGGUGAAGCUCAGGAGCCGACCUGUUUCGGUCCUUGUUGUGUGACCGUCGUCGAAGUUGAUGACGAGGAAGAGUAAACGUGACCCAUGGGCAGGGUCUGUAAAUUUGUAAUCUGCGUUCUGAAGUUUAAGUUGCUCCGCUGGACCAGGCUUGUAAUAACACUCUACUAUUUGGACGAACUCCUUUUGUAAAUUAAGUUAUGUAAUACUUCCGCUGUUUUACUCUGAAAUAUUACUUUGGUCUUAUGUCGCCUGUGAUACUACAAUGUCUUCGCAACGAGUGAUCCUGGUGUUAAGGUGGCCACUUGCUAUCUUGUAAGGGCGAGAAGAAGAAGUUCUCGUCAAUUGACCAUUACCAGUGGUCAAGACGAGCUUGCUUGAUACGCCACAGGUAGCGGUGGAAUGAGCGUCCAGCGAUGCUCAUCGGACUUCUAAAGUGGGAGGAUCCCCGACAUCACUGUCAGAGGUCCUUGGGACAAUGACAGGUGUCGGUGGGCCCAAGCACUUAGGAGGUUCUUCCACACCUGAUCUCUGCCGAUGUAAUUCCGACUGCUCGGGAAGGACUUGCCUCCUCACCUUCAUCCUCAGAAAUGUCGAUGGCAAAGGAGAACAAGCUGUCAGGAGAGUCCUGUUCCAGAAAAGAAAAUAAAGUGAGUCAUUCUAUGGUCAAGUAUUGAUAAAUAAUACAAAUAGAGGUUGGGUGGCUUACUUGUUUCAGGGCAAUCUCUCGCCUCUGACUCGAAGAUGCUGAUGGAACCACAGGCUGAUCGGCUGGGGUUGCUGAUGAGACUAUGUCAGCUGAAAGAAUAACAGAAAUAAUUAUAAGACAGAGAAAGUGGGUUCAUCGGCAAUGGUUUCAUAGAAAGUGUGUUACCUUGAGGAGGAGCAGUACUUGCUUGGAUGGAAGAAAAUACCGAUGCUAUAAUUGAACUUGCUGGAUCGGUAGUUUGCUCAUGCACGUCAACCGAUAUGUCUUCCGGCUGAGGUAAUUCUGGCUGGGGUUCUUCUAGUUGGGGUUCUUCCACGUGGGGUUCUUCUUGUGGCUGAGGAGAAGGUAUCUGCUGUGUCUGAGCUUCUAGAGAAGAAGGAGAAGAUUCCACCGGGAUUGGAGAUACUGGGGGAGAAGGUGUUGCUGUCUUCUGGCGCUUUGCUUGUGAUCUGGUACUCUUGGAACCUUUCCUCUUCGGCUGACUGGACUGGGGGGCAUUGGCACUUAUGCUUCUGGUCCUUGCCGAUGCACCGGUAUGCUGAUACAACAAUGAAAAUUUGUGAGUACAAAUGCAACAGAUGCAAGAAUGGGAUCGGUAUGGAUGAAAAAGCUUGAACAGCUACCUUGAAGGCCUGUGCUAAGGUGGAGGCAGCUACUGAUGGAGAUGUCUUUGUCCGCUUGGUGGUGACUUUCUUGAGGCGCACACCUCGAUGCAUUAUAGCAGCUAAAGUGGGAGCGUUGUUGCCGAUUGAAGAGAUCGGACCUGAUGGAAAAAGAUCAAUCGGCUUACCACUCCUGCUGACCGAUGGGGGAGUAUUAUCAACCUAUAAUAUAAUACAGAAAGUGAGUUACCGAUGGAAAUAGAAGUGAAAGGAUUGAGACAUCGAUUUGGAAAUACUUACAGUGUUAUCGGGAACUUUGUACUGGGGGUUGAUCAUGCUACGGUACGUAAGAGCCGAUUUGCAGAACAAAUGCUCCUUCCAUUCCUCCCACCAUUGUUUGUACGCCUGAGUGAUGAAGUGGGCCGGAAUCCACUCUGAUAAAUCUGCAUCUGUAUCGGCACUCGGUGGCAGUUGAGCUACUCGGGUCCACUCGAGAAGGCUAGUGAUGGUUUCCCUAGGUUUUAUCACAUCGGCAUAACAGAGUGCGAUCGGCAGCUGACCGAAAGCUAGUUGGCGGGCUAGUGCUGAUGGAUUGUAAAACUCAUAGGUUUGAUUGGAGGCUUUCCCACUGCCAAAGAAGUUUACUGGUAUAGCUCUGGGAGUGAUCAGUGCCAUCAUCACAUCGUGAUCCUUGUUGAGAGCAUCAUUGAAUGGAUGGAAGACCAAAGGAAACAUGGUGUGUGGAUCUUCAUAAGGCAUCCACGCUCGCCGUUCUCUGGUCAGGCCUUCGUACAGGGUCUGGAAGAAUCGGCUGACCUGGUCUGCAUUGCCACCUGUACCAGGUAGAACUAUGAUAGCCUCGCCAAAGUUCAGAGGAGGACGAGUUACCGAUUCUUCUUCAUCCAAUUCAUGGCUGAUAGGGUAGACUUAGUUAGAGCAGUCUGGUCGACAGUGUUCAAUAGCUGAGCUUUCCAAGUAGGGAUCUUGGCUGCAACUUUGUCAAUUAGCGGUUGCUCCUCCAUGUGUGUAGGCUUCUGUAGGGUUGAAGGGUCGAGAUGGCGGACUAGAGGGGAGGUGAAUAGUCCUUUCUAAAAAUAACACACCGGCUAACCAAAACAAAUGCAGAAUUAAAACUAUCGGCCUAGCCAAGACUACACCCCUCUAUCUAAGUUCUCUAGCACCUUGUAAAAGAUCCUAAACAAGAAAACAAGGUGCUACCUUACCAAGAGCUCACCUAACAAUUAUAGAAGUAAGGUCAUACAAACCUAUGCAACUAGUACUGUGCAAACCGAGGAAGCUCCUACACAAACUAGUGAGGCAAAGCGCACAAAGCCUAAGCUCACUAGCAAGCUCAAUAACAAGGCAACUAAUGCCAAAUUAGAGAGCGCAACUUACUUAGCUACACAAACUAAGCAAUGUGACUAGCAAGGUUGCACAAACCGAAUUAGCCACGCAAGGGAACUACUUCUAGCUACAUAAGCAAGAAGGUAACUAGCAAGCUACACAAGCUUAACUAAUUACAAAAGCAACUACACAAGCACAAGUAUAUAAAUAAUGUAAAUACAAGCUCGUGUAUAGCGAAUGCAAACCACCGAGAAGAGUAGACAAUGUUGACACAGUGAUUUUUACCGAGGUUCACUUGGUUGCCACCAAGCUACGUCCUUGUUGUGGCGAUACACCCACUUGAUGGAUCACGAGCUAAUUGGAAUUCCAAAGCCAAACCCUCGGCGGGUGCCGCACAUCCACUCUCAAGAUGGGGAUCCUCCAAGCCACAAGCAAUCCACUAGAGUUGCUCUUCGCGAUCCACGCGGGGUGAGCACCGUACCCCUCACAAUCUCUUCUCCAGCGCACAGCACAAUCUCUUUGCAUGCUUUGACGGAGUCACAAGCCACCAAGCCGUCUAGGAGGUGGCAACCUCCAAGAGUAACAAGCACCACCGGCUUGCAACAUGAACACCUAGUGCCACUUGAUGCAAUCUCUCAAUGCAACACACUAGAAUCGCUCACUCACACAAUCGGAUGAUCACUAUCAAGCAUAUAUGAGUUAGAGGCUUCACUAGCACUCCCCGAGAAUGGACACUAAGUCCCAAGGGUGCUUAGCACCAGCCAAGGCUGGCGAUCACUUCUAUUUAUAGCCUCAAGGGCUAAACUAGCCAUUACCCCUUCACUGGGCAAAACACGUGGGCACCGGACUCACUGGAGGGUGCCACCGGAUGCUCAACCCCAGCAUCCGAUGCUUAGACACCAGCCACGUGUCACUAGCCAUUUGAACUCGACCGUUACCGUCAACGGCUAACACACGCGCGCGCCUGCACCAGCCACACCCGACGCUCUACAGGUCCACACCAGACGCGUCCGGUGCACACCGAACUUGUGCGCAGAGAGCUCCACAAACCUGCAGGGUCACCGGACGCUAAGCACUGGUAGCGUUCGGUGCUCACCGGACUUAUGCGCAGAGAGGGUCGCAAAACGCCCGCACACCGGACGCUGAGCACCGGACUCACUUUAGUGUGUCCGGUGCACUCUGCUUCCUCUGGUCGGACCCGACAGUACACCGGACGCUAAAGGCCAAUGUCUGGUGCCUCCACGCAGUGUGUCCAGUGAGUGUUUGUCAGUGAGAAACACUCUCGCGACUUCUCCAAAUUUCCCACCAGCGCAAUAGAAAAUAUGCACUUAAUUUUCUGAAAAGCGCCGAAUCCCUCUCUACCCUAGGAACUCUAAACCCAAACCCCUCUCUACCCUAGGAACUCCACCUCCUUCGCAAAGAGUGCCAACACCACCAAGUGCAAGUGUGUUAGCAUUUUACAAACAUUUUCCCAAAGGAGUUAGCCUCUCAAACUUGCCGCGCCACUCGAUCCUAACACGUAUGCAAAGUUAGAUCGCUCAAGUGGCACUAGACGACCGAUAUGCAAACAAGUUUGCCCCUCUUGAUAGUACAGCCAUCUAUCCUAAAUCCGGUCAUAAACUUCUCUACACACCUAUGACCGGUGAAAUGGAAAAGCCCUAGGUUAUACCUUUGUCUUGCGCUUUCCAUUCCAUCUCCUCCAAUGUUGAUGCAACACAUGCACCAACCAAUCACCAAAUGAUAUGAUCCACUUCAUAUCAUCACGUGACCAUAUUGGUUCAUUGAUCUUGACCUCACUUGCUCUUCACCGUUGCCUUGGUCCAUCGGCGCCAAGUCUUGCUCAAGCUUCACUGUCACACGCGGUCCCUCGCUUCAAAGCCUCCGACUUGCCCUUCACUCUUGCAACUGGUCCAUCGAGCCAAGCCUCAUCUUGAUCUUCUCCACCUUGGUCACAUGACUCCAUGUCAUGUCUCAUAUGCAAUGAGCUCCUUCAUCAUCACAUAAUCAUCUGUGGACUAAUCUCCUAUGUAUCUCACAUAAACACUAUUAGUCCACCUAAGUUGUCACUCAAUUACCAAAACCAAACAAGGACCUUUCAAGGGUGAGCAGGAUGCCCAGGUACGCACACGAGAAGGGGACGAGGUGCCCCAAAAAAUCCGCUAGAACGAUCGCGACAUCAUCCUCGGAGCAAUGGAUGGACGAGAUGGAGCAUUUCUCCAAAUUGGUGAUGAGGCCCGAGGCAUCGACAAAUAGGUCCAUGAUGGCCCGAAGUCACCUUGUUGGCGAGAGAAAUACCACCAAAUCAUCGGCGUACAGAGAGGCACAACCCUAGAUUAGGGCGGCAAGAUGGGCUAGAGCACGCCGCAUACAUCAACAGUCGAUAUCAUUCGGUUGAUGACAUCCAUUGCGAUGACGAACAACAUGGACGACAGAGGGUCGCCCUACCGUAGUCCACGUGCAUGCCAUAUCUUCUUCCCUAGCCUUCCAUUCAUGAGCACCCGCGUGGAAGCUUGUGGACAGGAGCAAGGUGAUCCACUCAGUCCACCGUGCUGGUAAGCCACACAAUUCCAUGAGCUGAAUGAACUCCUAAGAAACCAAAUCGAAAGCCUUGGCGUUGGCUAUGUCGAUCUUCACAAGCACGACCGGGAGGUGUCGGCUAUAGAGGUAUUGGCAAGCAAGUUGUACCACCAUGAAGUUAUCAUGGAUGGACCGACCUUGGAAGAAGGUGCUUUGGUUAUUUUUUUAUUAGAGAAGAGAGGUGUGGUACCAAACGUGUGGUAAGCACCUUAAUGAUAAGUUUUCUAAGACUGUACAUUAAGUUGAUGGGUCGGUGGUCCUUUAGGCAGGAUGGCGCCACCACCGUUUUCCUGAGCAGAACCAUGUUGGUUGUGUUCAAGAGCUAGAAGCUCCAACGGUGAGUCCACAAGGCGUUAAAGACGACGUCAUCAUUUAUGACCUGCCACGUUGCCUUGUAGAAGCGGUCAGUAAAGCCAUCAGGACCUAGGGGGCACGAUCAUUUGGAAUUUCCCAGAUGAUGUUCCACGCCUCGUCGACUAUGAAUGGUGCUCCAGCUCGCUAAGAUCAAGCUGCGACAUGCCAACUUGUGACAAGCUGAUAUUCGCAUUUAAGUAGGCAUAGAUGGCAUCCGUUUUUGCUUUUCAAGAAACAAAUUUGACUAAAUAUAUAAAAAAUAUUAAAAUUUAUGAUACAUAAUUAAUUUCAUUAGAUAAAUUAUUGCUAAUAUUUUUUCUAUAAAUACAAUAAAAUUUAUCAACAUGUAAACCGUGGUGACAGAUAUUAGAGACAAAGAGAGGACUAGUGCUAUUUAGUUUUCCUAGUCUUUGCGGAACAGAGGGUGUGUUAGGGAGUGUUUGGUUGGAGGGACUAAAUUCUAAUAGGUAUUGUAGCACAUUUGUAACUAUAAUAAUUAGUGUCCAAUCAUGAACUAAUUAGACUUAAAAAAAUUCAUCUCUUAAAUUAUUCUCUAGCUAUGUUUUUAGUUUCUUUAAUAGUCUAUGCUCUCUCUGUCUCUGAAAGCUUUAACUUCUAGAGUUGUCAUAAGUCAAACUUUUAAAACGUUGACUGAAUUUCUAGAAAAGAAACGUUAAGAUUUAUAGUAUCAAAUUAAUACCAUUAGAUUUAUCAUAGAAUAUAUUUUCAUAAGAUACUCAUUUUAUGUUAUAGAUAUUAAUGCUCUUUUCUAUAAAGUUAGUUAAAUUUUUAAAAGUUUGACUGACACGGAUUCUAGGAGUUGAAGCUUUCAAGGACAGUGAGAGUAUUUAAUACUUCAUUCAUAUGUCUCAAUAUUUGAUGUGAUAAGGACUGAAGUUUAUAAGAGGAAAUCAAACAGGGCCUUAGAUGUUAAUAGCACUAAACAAGUUAUCUUAAAGCUAGUAAGUACAAUUAUAUUGAGGGUGCCCUCUGUUAACUCUGACCCCCAGAAGUUCCUGACGCAAACAAUGCUAGAAGCGACCCCUCGCUUGUCCAAGAAUAAAAUGUUCAGAUCUCGUCGUAGCUUGCUUCUCGGGGAAGACCGCACCCUAGAUAACCGAAGUACCCAACCCAACAAUCAUAAAGGCAACUGAAAUUUCUUUUUUUGCAACGGGCCCAUGAUGCCUAGCCCAACCCUUCUUCGCGCGACGGUUUCAAGUUAGACGAAGAGGCCCGAACUGCACUGCAGGCCCUCAACCAGGCCGUGCGUCGAGUUCCAUGUACGUCUAAAUCAUUUGGGACGUUUCCCAAAAAUUUUCCCUUUGUGCACUCAACUCUCACGGAACUGUUUUUUUUUUUGGGGCUGGAGCAAAUCCAGAAGGAGACAUCCAAUAAUGGCCUAGUGUCUAGUGGGCUUUAAUUUGAAGACUUUUCAUUAUAAAAGCUGGUAAUUAUCUCUAAGCUAUUAAAAAAGUUGAAUUUUAAUAGAUGUCACUCCUCUAAACUCUUUUGUUCUUUACGCCGCUUCCAUCAGAUUUGACUCUAAUGGUGUUAAACUGCAUGUAUAAAAAGUCAAAAAUACCCUCAUAUUUGAAUAUACAAAUAAUUUUUUUGAGCAACUUAACGAUCUCAAAUAAAAAAACUCAAAACUAGAAAGUUGUAGAUCUCACCAAGAUCUACAAUAUUUCUAUAAAAAUUAUUUUUAUUUCAUUUUGUAUAAAAAACUAUAGUUUUUCUAAGACAUUUUAAUCAUAUUAAAUUAUAUAUUUUUGUAUGGAAUUCAAUGAAGAUAAUAUUUAUAAAUAAAUUGUAGAUAUUGUCGAGAUCUACAACUUUCUAGUUCUGAGUUUUUUCGUUUGAGGUAAUUAAAAUGCUCAAAAAAAUUUACAUAUUUAGGCCAAAGAGUAUUUUUGACUUUUCACACUCGCAGUUUGACACCGCUAGAGCUAAAUCUAACAGAAGUGACGUGAAGAGCAAAAGAGUUUAGAGAAGUGGCACCUAUAAGAACUCAACUUUUUAAUUGCUUAUAGGUAAUUAUCAACUUUUAUAAUGGCACAUAAGUAAAACCCUCAAUUUGCCACUUUGUUUGGCCUUCUCUAUGGAUUUGAUUCAAGGACUUUUUGUUCUUUUUUUCUGAAUAUACAAAUGACUUCCAUAUCAUUGUAAAAAUGUCUUAAGCUCCUAUGCUCAUGUCAUGAUACUUCCAUGACACUGAUAUUUUAGUGACGGAUUUUGUUCAGACUAACGAAUUAUGUUCUUUGAAUAUAUAGUUUCUGUUAACGAAUUAUCAGCAAACAAUAGUUUUAGCCAUGAUUUUCUAAGAAUCGAAUAGGCUCAAACAAGGUCAAGAUGUGCACAUGGUCUUGCUGCACUACUGUAGAUACAAUCAAGUACUGUCUGCUUGUUCUUUUCUGGUCUUGUUGUAUAGAGUAGGGAAGAAAGAGCCUAGUACUAGCACAUUCCAAUGAUUGUAGCUAAAAAAGCAAUGCUUGGAUCUGUCAUUGUGAGCUUGCUAGAGACAUUAUUAUCUGUAAUUGUUAAAGCUGCUCUGGAUAAAACGGUCCACAGAUUACGGUAGACGGUAGGCCCGGUAGGCGGAACACUACUAUUCUUUUGUCUCGUGUGUGAGCAAUGUGCUUUUUGUUUAGUUCCAAUUUUUUUUACAAACUAGAUACUGUAGCACUUUCGUUUGUAUUUGACAAAUAUUAUUCAAUUACUAGGUUAAUGCCCGUACGUUGUUACGGGUUUUAAAAUCCACAUACUCUAUGUUUCUUCAUUGUUAUUUUAUUUUUUCUGUCUAUAUUUUUCCUUUUUCGUUUCUUUUUAGUUUUCAUUUUUCAAUUUUAUUUUAUUUCCUGUCCUUUCCUUAUUCUUUUCUUGUUUUAAUUUUACCUUUUAUUUUCAAAUUCUUUUGGUUUUAUUUUUAUUGUUCUUCCUUGCUUCUAUUUGUUUUUCUUUUUUCUUUUCAGGUUUUCUGUGUUUCUUCAUUCUUAUUUUAUAUUUUAUUUCCUUUUAAUUUUAUUUUAUCCUUAUUUAAAUUAUUCAUUUAUUUUAUUUGCUCUAUGCACUUUUUAUCAAUUGUUAAUCAUGUUUAUUUUUAUAUUUUUCUUCUUAGUAAUUUUUAUUUUCUAUAUAUAUGUGAUGUUUAUGUAGUAUAUAUUCACUGGCGGAGCCACCGCCCCGCCACCCCGGGCGGCCAGCCAGGCUCCUCGCCAAGAUGUAAAAGAAAUCUUCUUUAUAUUUAUAUAGAAUUCUGUAAUUUUGUAAUUAAAUAUUUUUGUUUAAUGAGAAUUGCCCAGGCUCCUAAAAUCUUCUGGCUUCGCCACUGUAUAUAUUUAGUGUUCUAUGUUGUGUUAUGUCAUGUUUACGUAGUAUAUAUGUGAUGUUCUAUGAUAUUUCUUAUUGUGUUCACUUCGUAUACAUGUAAUCUAUAAUAGAUGUGAUGUUCUAUAAUAUAUUUAAUGAUGCUCUAUGAUGAGUGAUGUUAAUGUUAUAUAAAUAUAUUUACAAAAUUUGAAAAGUAACCGUUUGACAUUAUUUGAAAUUUUUCUCCAUUUUGUGUUUAUUUUUUUUCUUAUGCUUUUGGCUCUAGAUUUUUUUAUUAUUUUUAUCUAUGUCAUGUAUUUAUGUAUUUUUAUGUAUAUUGUAAUAUCAGUUUCAUAAACCUAAAACCAAAAUACUAUUCUUCUAAAUCGAUAACAUUUUUUUACAAAGACAGAACAUCGUCUGUUGAACCUAAAAUAUUGUCUCUACUUAAUAAAAGAAAAUAUUUUAUCUUUAUAAGAUAAAUAUUCAUUAAUAAAAUUUUAUCUAAAUAUAUCCAUGUGUGAUCUUGUUUUGAAGGAUUUGUUAUAAAAAAUUAAUGGUGCAAUCGAAAUUUAAUUUAUAUCUCCUUUUUAGGAGUUAUGAUUUUUUUAAUUCGCUAAAACAAUUUUGCAUGCAUAGAUGAGUGGGGCUUAGGUUGAUGGGAUAGCGUGUCAUCACGCAGUAAAAAAGACCACCAAAGAGAUAAUAGUUGUGGAUGGGUCCUCUCAUAAUUUUUAGUUGUAGAGAUAAAUAUUCAUUAAUAAAAUUUUAUCUAAAUAUAUCCAUGUGUGAUCUUGUUUUGAAGGAUUUGUUAUAAGGAAUUUAAUGGUGCAAUCGGAAUUUAAUUUAUAUCUCCGGUUUAAGAGUUAUGAAUUUUUUUAAUUCGCUAAAACAAUUUUACAUGCAUGGGUGAGUGGGGUCUGGGUUGAUGGGAUAGCCUAUCAUGGCACAGUAAAACGAACGGGAGUUGUGGAUUCACCAUAGGUGCGGUAGACGGGUCCUUUCCAAAAUUUUUAGUUGUAGAGAUAGACUAAAUAGAUUCAAAAAAUUUGUCUCACAUAUUACAUGCAAACUAUGCAAUUAGUUAUUAUUUUUAUCUAUAUUUAAUGUUCCAAUACCAUCAUCUUUACAUCUUUACAUAGGAAUGGCUACGGAGAUUUCUAACAUCUUAGUCUCGUAGUUUUGAAUUUCCAAAUCGAAUCGAUUUAAAUUAAAAAAAGAAUAAGAAAAAGCUACCUCAUCCCUAUUGGUAACUGUUUGGGCCACCGCCCACAAAACAAACCAUAGUUUGAGGGUAGAACUAUGAUAUGGAUUCUCAAAAUUCAGUGUCACCAAACCUAGUUACUCUUGUGCCCCAACUUAGGGGAUACGAAUUUAUCGAGUUUGAUAAUCCUAAGUAUUUUAUUGAAAUUUUAAGUAUUUUAUUUAUCAGGCGGCAUCUAGAUUUGAACUGAGGUUAAAGGAUUUACGGUUUAGGGUUUAGGUCUAUUGUUAAGAACAUCUUCUUGCCCAGCAGUUCAAUGCUGUUUCAAGGCCUGCAUUGUGCACCAUGAGCAUGGAAUUCACUGCACAUGCCGUGCUGAUUCACAAGCAGCAGCAGCAGGCGGCCUCAACCUCAUGAUGCUUGCGGCCGGGUUGGAAAGGGGAGCCCGAUCGAGACCAUUCUGAGUUUCUGACUGAGACUGUUGGUAGCCUGGCAGUCUGGUAGUAGUACUCGCACGUAUCAAAGGAAUUGAAGCUACGGCGGCAAAGCUGACAUGGCUACCUGGGCGCAAAUGAUUUGGUCCGUCUCCGCUCUGCGACUGCGAUAGAUAACACGGGAAUCAUGUUGCCCGCCGGUGAGCUGCGUGUGAUCGGACGUGAGAGCUUUCGCUUUAAGCAAAGAUGAUGGCAAAUGGCAUCGCACGGCACGGCAGUCCGUCCGUCCGUCCGUCGGCCUCCUUUUCCGUUCGGCCAUGCGUCGUCCGGCCUGCUGAUUUGUGUUCUACUGUACUCGGCGACUACUCCAUCUCACUGCUCAGCAGUCCAGUCAGUCAGUCAGUACGGGAGACCGGUGUGAGAGUCCAAUCACAAUCAAGGGCGUAAGGCCUCGUUUAGUUCCCAAAAUUUUUCAAGACAUCGAAUCUUGCGGCACAUGUAUGAAGCAUUAAAUAUAGAUGAAAACAAAAACUAAUUACACAGUUUACCUGUAAAUCGCGAGACGAAUCUUUUGAUCCUAGUUAGUCUAUGAUUGGAUAAUAUUUGCCACAAACAAACAAAAGUGCUACAGUAGCGAAAUCCAAAAUUUUUCUCAAACUAAACAAGGCCUCAUGGCAAGGGUUCGACCUUGGGCGUGCGUGCCUGAAAAAUGGCAGAAAACCAUCGAUCGCUGCAGGUAGUAGCUGCCAGCCAAGGAGUAUCCUGGUAAAUGGUAGUAUAUAUAUGCUGACGCCUGAGCCAGCAUUGGCUCUACCCAACAAGUGCGUCGCGUUGCCUGGCCGAGCGCGAGCGGCAGGUACCGCCGGCGUUUCAGCUCAGCCAGCAGCCAUGCCUUGGGCAACGGAUCGGAUGACCGGAUCCCUCCGCCACGCGAGCUCGGAAAUGUCCCCUCCCCAUCGAGAUUUCGAGGCAAUUCAGCCUUGUUUAGUUCCUGAAAAAAUUUGCAAAAUUUUUCAGAUUUCCCGUCACAUCGAAUCUUUAGACGUAUGCAUGGAAUAUUAAAUAUAGAUAAAAAUUAAAACUAAUUGUACAGUUUGGUCGGAAUUGACGAGACGAAUAUUUUGAGGCUAGUUAGUCUAUAAUUAAACAAUAUUUAUUAAAUACAAACGAAAGUGCUACUAUUCAUAUUUUAAAAAAAAUUUGAAACUAAACAAUGCCUCAUCCGUCCCCAGCAGUCGUCGUCGUCGACGAGUCGCUGCAGCAGCCGUGCAGUGCACUGCAACCACAGCUUUAUUCACUGCCCGCACAGCCUUUCCCUAUACGUUGCCUGCCGGUUACCCCACUGAUGGAAGGUAUCGAUGUAAGAGCAACUCCGUCAAAAAUACUUGGCAAAUUAGAAUUUUUGGUAAAACCACGAAAAAUAGGCUACAACAAGUUAGCAAAAACACUUAACAUUUUGGAAGCUUGGCAAAUAUCCCCCUUCCUUGCGCAAAUAUGCGCGCGUUGGAGCGCUUGGCAUCGGACGAUUUCGGCACUUCUUCGGUUCACCCGUGCGCGCGAAGCGGACCCGCUCUUCUUUUCCCGCGGGCGCGAAAGGAGAUAGGAUCGCCGCCGCCGGUCCUUUCCUCGUGUGCCUGGUCUGGUCGCUAGGAGAAGGAUCGACGCUGCCGGUGCUUUCCUCGGUCCUCGCCGUCAUCUGGUGUUCGUGCCGAGAGAAGGAUCGAUGGAGAGAGGGAAAGAUGGCCUGGAUCGAUGGAGGUGCAGCAACAUAGGAAGAAGGAAGAAGGGGUGGCGGCAGAGGAGAAGAUCGGCGCGGCCCUGUACGGCGUCGAAGGUGAAGGGGUCCCUUGCGUGCGUGACCUGAAGGGAAUUGCCAGGCACCGGCCCCACCAAAAAAUUAAGACAUGUGGGCCACUAAUUUUCAUUUUGCCAAGCUCAAAUAGUAAACUGUUGGAGAAGGGCUAUUUUUUCACUUGGCAUUUGAGUUUGAGACUUGGCAAAACUAAAGAUUUGUCAAAUGAUGUUUGCCAAACUGUUGGAGUUGCUCGGUGAUUAGAGUCUAUCCAACUAUGGGGACAUAUUUUUCUAAAUUUUGUGAGGAUUUAUCUUUUUUUAGUGUGUCAUAAUAUGUAAAAUAGGGACCCAUUGGAGAUAUCUAUUUAGUAAUAGUUAGAUUAGAGACUAGUUAAAUUAAAUACAGGUCCCCUAAUUUAUAGAAUUUAUCUUUUUUUUAGUGUAUCACGUUCAUGUGUGCAUGAGCCAAAUUAUAGAAGUCGAUCGGACUCUUGUUUGCAUGGUUAACGCUGCUAGGAGGUUUCCAAACAAAACCUUAUAUAGUUUCCACUAAUAAUUUCAGUGUAGAUGCAUGGCUAUUAUAUAUGCUCUGAUGGUGAUGGAUUAUCUUUCGAUCGUAUUGUUUUGGCAGUAAGGAAUAGAUUGCGUGCAUGGAGAAAAAGAAAUAGCUCUAGAUUUUGCUGACUGUGCGCGGAAGCCGAAAGCUCGCUCGUUUGCCGGAUACGGCCGGCCAGCAGAUCCCAUCCGUGUGCUUUGCUUUCACAAGCAGACCACCGUCCAAUGUACAGGACUACAUGCUUUGUGACUGUGUGUCGAUCGAGGCCGCAGCUAUAGCGUUAACACUAUAUUUUUAUUAGAUUAGUCAUAAAAUAUAUUUUUAUAAUAAAUUUAAUUAAAAAUCUAACUCUGUAUAUAACAUCUUAUAUAAAUUUAUUCAAACUUAAAGAUUAAUUUAAUUUUUUAGGAAGCGAGGUUUAUAAAUUUUUUUACCAGGCGUCGCGUCUGCUGGCUAAGCUCCACGCGCAUAAAAAAUGGUUUUGGAUUGAUCGCCCGCAGCUGCUCCACGCGAGAAGCGUGCGCUGCAUUGCUGCAACGAUGUCGCAGCUUCAAUUCAUACACGGCUAUAUACGAGUACGUACUCCGUACUCGUAUAUCAGCAUGACUUACUAUUGUUUUUACGAACGAUGCCACACUGAACGGUCCGCCCAUGCAACAGCUUCUAUGUACGCUCUCCAGUCUCCAUCACCGCUCUGCGCUGAGUAUUCUUCCGAACCAGCUGUUGUAGCCCAGACUACCCAGUACAAACACUCGCCGGCUGUAUAUAUAUUGUGACUAGUCAUAUACUGAUAUACAUCAUCGAUCUUCUUCUCUUUUUUCUUUUUUGCGAGGAUCAUCGAUCUUCUUUUGACGGGAUUGGACAGAUGGAUUGGACAUAUUGAUGACAACGACAGACGGUCCUGUUUGGUUUCUACUUAAAAAACUUUUCAUCUCGUUUCAUAAAAUGUUUGAACACAUGGCGAGAGUAUUAAUAUAGAUAAAAAUUAAUUAAUUGUAUAGUUUGUAUUAAAAUCACGGGACGAACCUUUUAUGCCUAAUUAGUCUAUGAUUAACCAUAAUUACUCAUAUGCUAAUGAUAGAUUAAUUAGAUUUAAUAAAUUCAUCUCGUGGUUUCUAGACGAGUUAUAUAAUUAGUAUUUUAAUUAGUAUCUGAACACCCUUCUGACAUCUCAUUAAACAUCCGAUGUACUCCCUCCAUUCCAAAUUGUAAGUCAUUCCAAGAAUCUUGGAGAGUCAAAUCAUUUUCAUGUUUGACCAAAAUUAUAGAGAAAAAUACUAAUAUUUGUAACGUAAAGUAAAUAUACUAUGAAAAUAUAAUUAAGAAAGAAUCUAACGAUACCUAGUUAGUAUCAUAAUAAUUAUUAUUUUAUAAUAUAAAUUUGGUCAAACUUAGAAAAGUUUGACUCUCCAAGAUUCUUGGAAUGACUUACAAUUUGAGAUGGAGGGAGUAACAUCUAAAAACUUUUCACCAAUGAACUAAGGCCUUAUUUAGUUUUCAAAAAUUUUCAAGAUUCUCCGUCACAUCGAAUCUUGCGGCACAUGCAUGAAGCAUUAAAUAUAGAUAAAAAAGAUAACUAAUUGCACAGUUUACCUGUAAUUUACGAGACAAAUCUUUUGAGCCUAGUUAGUCUAUAAUUAAAUAAUAAUUGUCAAAUAAAGGUCAUAGUAUGCUUGCAGAUGGUGUACUAGGCUUAUGCGCGCACGCUCUCUCUCUCUCUCAAUAUUUUUGGCAAAUAUAUUUUUUUUCUCUCAAAUUUUGAUCCAGGGAUUGUGACUUUACUUAAUAUUGACUACUAAAUUUAUAGAGAGGAGUAUUGACAUAUACUGCAUUAAAGAGAUAUAUACUAUAAACAAUAACAUAUUUCAUAAUGUAUGUAAUGAUAUCAUUGGAACCUUAGAUAUUAUUGUUCUUUAAAUGGUCAAAUUUAUAUCAGACAAACUCAAAAUCCGUUAUACAGAUUAUGUGAAAAUAGUACAGUUUGGUAGGCCAUCAAAAGUUAGUUAAGCGUGCCUUCGUAGUACGUUUGUUUAUUUAUUUACAUUACAUAAAUACUUUUUAAAGACAAAAACGACUAGUCAUACGAAUGAAAUGACAACAACGAUGUCUACAUACCACCGAUGCUAGCUUUUGCUAAACACAGGUGUCCGCGUCCGCCCUAAAAAAAAUGAGUAGGGUCGUUCGAUAGUUCCUCAUCACUCUGUCAGCGGCUACUUAUCAACUUAUUAAUAGCUUUCGCAUCAAAUCGCAUCCAUAGUCGAAAAAUGGAAAAUAUCGUCGGUGCUAAGACGAUCAACCAUCGGACAGGCGAUGCUGAAUUACUGCUGAGGCCGGCCGAUUCAGAGUCGCUAACUCUCAUCAGCGCGCCAAAAAAAGUCAGCACAAGCAACUGAUCACUGUUGCUUGUCGAGAGGAGAAACGUACGCGAGUUGAGAGUGAGGGAGAGUCGGCCGGAGAGAUGUACACACAAGUAACUAAUGUCAUCAGUAUACAGAUUGAUCUGAAUUUAGACCCCUUUCAGAUUCUACAGACCAGCAAAGAUUAGUUAAGGGUCUCAUUCUUUAUGGAAGUCAUUAUCCUCAUGGCCCGGGCCAUCUGGAGAUCAAGAAAUGAUAUGAUCUUCAAGCAAAUUAAUUCAUCUAUUCAGCAGGAUUUUAGGCACUUCAAGGAAGAAUUCAAGCUGCUGCUCCUAAGAGCCAAAAGAAGAUAUUCUCUUUCAAUUUAACAAUGAAUUUCAAAUCUAGACUACCUAGGCUUAGUCAGCUCUUGUUUUGACCCCCUCCCUUUAUUUUCUUUUUUUUUUCCUUUUUUCUUUCUCUGUUUGCCCUGCCUGUAAUUACUAUUUUUGCUUUAUUUAAUCAAUUACUGUAGGGGUGCAAACUCCUCCAUAUUUGUCAAAAAAAACUAGACUUAAAAGAUUCAUCUUGUGAUUUAUAGGUAAACUGUGCAAUUAGUUCAAAAGAUUUGUCUCGUAAAUUAUAGAUAAACUGUGCAAUUAGUUUUUUGUUUUUGCAUAUAUUUAAUGCUCUAUAUAUAUAUCAUAAGAUUUGAUGUGAUAGAAAAUCUUGAAUUUUUUUUGUUUUUUAGGGUAAACUUUCGUGUGUUGCUGUAACUGCAAAGAUGAGGAGCUGCCGGAACGAAAAAUGAGCUUUUUUUUUCUCUCCCUUUCCAUGGCAGCCUAGCACUAGUAGUAGGAUGUGUCGUCUCGUAUCACACUGUUCACAUCCCUGCAGGGUGUCAAAGGAUGACGUAACCAGGCAAGGGAGCAGUACGUGCAUGUACAACAACGGCAGUCGGCAACUUGCACCGUUCGCUUGCUAUCGGCUAAUCGCCAUUACUGGCCGGCCCCCCAAAUGAAACCGAAAGGUGCUGUGCUGAGCUGACCUCGAAGAAACAGGGCCGGCCGAUUUAAGCAGAUGGAUUACGUUCUGACGAUGCCGUGCGUGCCGGUACAAUCCAUCAACGUCUUACAUCACGGUUUCUCUGCUCAUCCAUGCAUCUUUCCAAGCAACUUCGACAGUAAAAAAAACCGGCCAACAUAUGGCAGUAAAAAAAGUUAAUUUCUUUUUUCGAGAUAAGAAAAAUAACUGAAUGAAAGUAGUCAAAGUACCAGCCGGUCAAAAAUAAAGAGAAGGGAAAGGAGAGGAGGGUGGCGGUCAAAAAGGUUGAUUAGGCCUUGUUUAGUUCACCCAAAAAUCAAAAAAAUUUCAGUCGAAUCUUUCAGCACAUGCAUGAAGCAUUAAAUAUAGAUGAAAAUAAAAACUAAUUACACAGUUUAACUGUAAAUCGUGAGAUGAAUCUUUUGAUCAUAGUUACUCCAUGAUUGGAUAAUAUUUGUCACAAACAAACAAAAGUGCUACAGUAGCGAAAUCCAAAAUCUUUUCGCAUAUAAAGAAGACCUUAGUAUGGUUGGGGCGCUAGCUGCUCGUCCCUUGCAAAACCAAGGUCUUGUUUAGUUCGCAAAAAUUUUCAAGAUUCUCCGUCACAUCGAAUCUUUGGUCGCAUGCAUAGAGCAUUAAAUAUAGACAAAAAUAAAAACUAACUGCACAAUUUAUCUGUAAUUUGUGAGAUGAAUCUUUUGAGCAUAGUUACUCCGUGAUUGGACAAUAUUUGUCAUAUAAAAACGAAAUGUUACAGUAUCCAAAAACAAAAAAAUUUUGCGAACUAAACAAGGCACAAAUUCGACAGGCCCCAACAAAUCGUCAACACCAACCGCGAUCGUCGGCCGGGCCAGUUGCUAGCUGCGAGGUCAUUACCACACCGGUGCGUGCUCCUUUCAGUCUCCCUAUCUCUCCUCCUCUGCUACCCUGUACGUGCUCCCUCCCUCCAUUGAUUCCACGCAUGCAUGCUGGAGCAAUCACAGCACGCACGCAACGCAGCUGCUCGAUCGAUCUGUUCACCAUCAACGACGGACAGCUCUGCUCGAUCGAUCCAUGUCAUCCAUGAUGAUGCUCAUCAGAAAGCACACAAAAGCAGCGAGGAAAUGUUGAUUGCAACUCGUACAGGGCCAGGCAAAGUGGUUGUUGUACACUCGUACUCUGCUGGCCGGCUAAGUACGUACGUACCUAGCUUUAUCACCAAAGCAAAAGUGAUUGUGGCCUUAUUUAGUUCCUCAAAAAAUUUGCAAAAUUUUUCAGAUUUCCCGUCACAUCGAAUCUUUAGACACAUGCAUGAAGUACUAAAUAUAGACAAAAAUAAAAACUAAUUGCACAGUUUGGUCGAAAUUGACGAGACAAAUCUUUUGAGCCUAGUUAGUCCAUGAUUGGACAAUAUUUGUCAAAUACAAACGAAAAAGCUAUAGUGUCCAUUUUGCAAAAUAUUUUGGAACUAAACAAGCCCUGUAUAUAGACAGAAAAAAAAACAUAAAGCUAGCAGUGCGUGAUGGCAGCGGAUCGAGCAGCAGAAGCAUCGAUCCAGCUCGCCCUGCUCUGAAAAGCAGCGGCAGGGAAGAAGAAGAAGAUAGCAGAAAGCAGGAAGAAUAAGCAAGAAACACCAGUGCACCAACGAUGAAACGGGACAGAAACAACGCCAGUACGCCACCACCCAUCUUCUCCAAAAAAACACAAUAGCCUCAUGUAGUCAUGUACAUCGUCCUACGUACGGAGAAAAAACGUGCCUCCUUACUUGUUCCUCUUCGUUCCCUCCAAGUAUACAUAAGUAUAUAUUGCUGCUACUGCUACGUAUACUAACUAACUAACUAACUAACUAAUCAAUACUGCUACGAGCUUAAUUGCUUAGCUACAAUUGGCAACCAACCAUGAAUCUAAUUAAUCCAUGAUAUGAUAUGAUGAUGCGAGAACUCUCUUCGAGAUCUUACUCUACUAUAUCUUCCUCGAUCAGCCUCCAUCGAUUGGCACCAAGGCAGGCAGGCCGGCCGGCUGCCGGCUUCGUUCUUCCCAUGCAUCGAUCGCACCGGCAUGUCGUCGUCGUCGUCAGGGAUGGCUUUGGUCCUGCGCUCCGAUGGAGUUGUGCUGCCGCGAGGGGCCCGACGGCGGCACGGGCCCCCGCGGCAAGAACCCCAGGAAAUGGUUGGCGCUGCCUGCCUCCAGUGGCUUCCCCCUGAACGGCUGCAUGCCUCGCGUCGCCUGGCAGCAGCUCGGCACCAGCAGCAGGAGGACCAGAAACACCAGCACCAGCCUCCGCCACGGCGGCUGCUGUGUUAAUGAUGGUCGCCGCCGCGUCGUCGUCGUCGUCCGGCUGCUGCUGCUGCUACUACAGCCUACUCCCCCUCCUGCUUGGAAACAGCAGGAUCCGGCCAUGGCAGAUCGAGCGGCAGCAGCACCCGGCCGGGGAGCUCUCGCUAACCCUGAGGCGGGCGUCAAUGGACUAGCUGUGGUGGGCGUGGUGAGCAAAUGGCGAGGAGAGGGAGAAGGGAGGUGGUGAUAUAGGGAGGGGGUGGGGUAUGAUAUGGUAUGGAAGUCCUGGGGAUGAUGAGACGCAGCAGACGCUGUGUGACAAGGCAAAGAGGGGGCCGGUCGUUGUUGGAUUUAAAUUUUUAUACCAGUUGCAUUUUAUAGCAUGGUGUGGACGACGAUGGAGUUGUUCAAACUUCAUGUCAUGUACCCAGCCCGGGGGAAGAAAAUAGGGGGAUGUCGAUCUAUCCUAUCCAACAGAUUUUCCAACAGGUACCGGCAAAAUGCACCCCGUUGAAAAAUGGUGCCAUGCACGUCCGUCCUGUUGUUCCUUGGAACUAUCUAGCUGUUUUUUGUUGACUAUUGGUCUAAACUCGUUUCAAAUAAGUUUUAUUUUUUUGAGUGAAAUUUCAAAGAUUUAUAAACCAUAACAGCUAUAUAUGGAUAUUAAAAGCCCACUAUAGCUCUCCUUUUUUAGAAUUUGUGAAACACUGAAACGAGACAAAAAUUCUUUUUUUUUUCUCAAAAGGACAGAGAGAAGUUUGACGCAAUUUAUAUCAGAAGGAUAGGAUAAAAACAAGAGCCGGUGUAGUUUUUUGAGUGGAAACCAGACAAAAAAACUGCACAACUAGAGGGAUGUGCCCACACACACACACACCACUCUCACAACUUCAAAACAACAACGACCAACUAACUACUCAAGCUUCUCUACUCGGUCAAAAGAGCCAGCUUGGUGUUGAAAUGCAAUCCAAAUACAUACCUCUUUUUUUUCAGAACUUGUGAAACAAGAAAAAAAUUCUUAUGAUACUAAUUAAGACUCCUGACCGUGUUUUCAACUUUUUUUCUAUGUAAUUAAUUGGCCUAAAAAAGGUUGCUUACAAGGCAAUUGGUUUUAAUAUGUCUAGCUGUUACAUUUUACUUUACAACUUGGAGCUUGUUUAUUUGAAGAGACCGUGGUUUAAUCUUCAAUGCUUUAUUUCCUGAGAAAAAUGUAAAAGUCAUUAUUAGGUUGCUAAAACAUCAGCAUUCUUGUGUAUCCCACGUUUUUAUGUUGCUUCCUUUUAUGAGAGGAGCAUAACCAUACAUUUCUAAUAAAGUUUUAGCUUUACCAUGUACUGGGUACUGCCAAUAUUGACCGAUGCAUGCACGUAACCUAAGCCAAAACACUGACUCCCACUGAUCAAACCUUUAUUACCCUCAAGCACCGGCUACUACUAUAGAGUGAAUAAGGCAUAGGAACCGGGAUGAUAUGUCAUCCAAAUCCAAGCAUAGAAGAAUAAGAAGUAGGCUACAUAGAUUGUUGAAAAUUGUUUAGUAUAUAUUCUUCUUAAAUCUGUUUGUUUGUCAUAGUUUGAUGCUUUUCUUUUUCUGAAAGAAAUACUCCACAUAUUACUGUGCCUUUUUGGUUGCUGAAACAUCAACAUUCUCAUCGGAUAACCUUCUGAUAUAUGUAGGAUGCUUUCCUGUUUUUCUUUUUUUUUUCAGAAGAGAAUAUGCAUACGUUGAGAAAGUUGUGCUUUUAAUUUAAAGCUUUUAACUGAACAUGCAUAAGCAGGCAGGUGGAUCCAUGGCUGGGGAAACCAUGGCCGAAGCACCAUAUAUUGUGAAACCUUUGUUACGUUACUCUCAUAAAGCAUCGUUAAGUACCAUUAGAGCUCCUUAAAAUAAACCCCUAAUUGUUUUUUGGCAAAAACGAACCAACACUUUUGUAUCAAAAACUGUAAAAAUUAAUCUUUGAUAAACCUCCUCUCUAAAGAUAUGUGCUUGUGUUCCAUACAAACACAUUCAGCCUCCCACACGACGUCUCCCACUCUCCCUCCCUCUCUCUUUGUUUUCUUCCUUCCAUAUAGUUUUCUCCUUUAGUUGUCGUUGCCGACACCCUACAAUGCUCGUUCCACCAUGCAACCGGCUAAUUUGAUUUUUUUUAGCAACUAAAUUAUUACAAACAAUUGGAGAAAGACAACAUUUUUUCACGAUCAGGCCAUUCGCCUAUAUUUCAUUAAGAGGAUAAAAGUUUGCAAACCAUAGGAACCACACAUGGCGGCAAGAGUCCACCAAUGCGCAGCCUAAAACCAGCUAGCAACUAAGAAAACAGGUGGUGAUUAAAGAUUACAAAGUUUCCGACAGUUGCGACAAAAGAGAUGCUAAAACCAACACGGUUUUGAAGCCAGCCUGUGCCCAAUCAUCGAUCUCCCUACUUAGCUUGCCUAGCAGCUGCUGCGUUCCACUGCUUGACCUAGCGAACGUCCUAUCGUUGCGCUCCUUCUAUAAGGUCCAAUAGACCAGCAACAUGAUUGAGUCGAAAGCCGGACGUGCUGCGUUGUCUGCUUGUUGUCAGAAGACAACAAUUAAACUAACUAUUAGAGAAAGAAAACAAUUAAACUAUAAUACUCAAUGUAUAUAGUCAGUGAUUUAGCAAGUGUUUUUUUUAAGAUUUUGGAGGUGCUCAUAGUUGUUUUGUGGCAAGGACACACCAAAUAACUAUUAGGGUUUUCUGGUUAUAAAAACAAAGGUAAGAAAAUAUACAAUUCUGUAAAACUUCAAAUAGAUUGGCCAAAGUACGACACGGCUAUAGGAUCAACAGUGUUUUAUUAAAAAAACAUAUUCAGUGAGAAACGCGUGGGAAAGAUACAAGACCAAGGGGGUGUACUGUUACUGCUACUUUGAAACCGGGCAACCGUGCCCCACACACAAAGUGUCAACAGUCUGAUGAAGAAGAGCUCAAGAACAGAUUGCCCUUGUUUUGUGGGUGGCAUGCUACCUGUUUGCCGUGCCGUGCGCCCCAAUUAUUGCGACCGGAACAAGAAGUGACAACGAAGAAAACUCGAUCAAGAUUGGGAGAAAAUUCGUCGCCAGACCUGGGGUGCAGAUUUGUAGGUUCUUGCAAAAGUGUAGAUGUACCUACAGUAGUACGUCCUUGUGUGUAUGUAGAUGUAGGGUCUGUUUGGUUGGUUGGUCUAAUAGAGCCUGGCUAGCAAAUGUAGCCUGGGCAGCCCUGACCUGCUCCUAGGAAGGCAACCAUCGUGUGUUUGGUUGCGUACAAAGAUGAGGGUGGCUAAGUCGAGCGUGUGUUUGGUUGGUUGUGUUUUUUUCGAUAGAAUCACCGUACCUGAACACUGGUGAGUUUACCCUCAAAGAAGCAAUUCAUCGAACACCUUCCAGACCCAUUUCCCUCCCUCCCGUUCCGUCCCCGCCCCUGUCUCUCUCUUCUGCUUCCCCCCGCGCGCCGCCGCCCGCUGGUGAUCCCCGUCGCCGCGGACCACCACCAGCAGCAGCAGCCAUGUCGUGCUCCCACCUCUCCACCGCCUGGUCCUCCUCGUCGCUCGCCAGCAACGCCUCCACCACCCAGCGGCGCGGAAGCUCCGCCCCGCGCUCGGGCCUCGUGGUGCGGUGCUCCCUCCGCGAGCUCCGCACCCGCAUCGACUCCGUCAAGAACACGCAGAAGAUCACGGAGGCCAUGAAGCUGGUGGCGGCCGCCAAGGUCCGGCGCGCGCAGGAGGCCGUCGUCUCCUCCCGCCCCUUCUCGGAGGCGCUGCCCCCGAACCAGGAGAUCCAGACGGAGGACAUCGACCUGCCCCCGAACGCCUCCGACCUCACCCCGCCGCCCCCGCCGCUGCCGCAGCAGCAGCAGGCGGCCCCGGCCCUGGCACCUCGCCCGCCCCAGCGCGCGGGGCCCACACGCGGAGCCUCUCCUUGGACGCCGCUUCCUCCGUGGCGUGCUCCAGCUCAACCGGCGACGGGAGCUUCCUCCGUGGCGUGCUCCAGCUCGACCGGCGACGGGAGUUGGAGAAUGGGCGAGGAGAAGCGGAGCAGAGGAGACGAGCAGAGAAGGGGAGUGGAGAGGGUGACGGGAAGCACACGCGAGCUGGUCCAAGCCUGGCUCCAGAAAAACGGACCCCCUAUCCGUUUUCUGGGAGCCUAGCCAAGGCCUGUACGGCGGCCAGCGGUAGCCUGGCUAAAGCCCAAAACCAGGAAACCAAACAGCCCAAUAUUAGCCCCAGCUAGCCUGCCCAAGAGUUAGUCCGGCAACCAAACAGGCCC
RNAcentral lists this long non-coding RNA (66029 nucleotides) under Sorghum bicolor (sorghum). Its description in RNAcentral is "long non-coding RNA (SBIC_LNC007209)". The record is from RNAcentral. Lineage: Eukaryota; Viridiplantae; Streptophyta; Magnoliopsida; Poales; Poaceae.